CGAUUAAAAUGCAGGAAACGUACAAAAAUAAAAAUAAAAAUAAAAGUAGACAAAAGUAUGUUGAAAUUGCAUAAUGUUAUGUUCAAUCAACACAUCCAAGAAAAAAUUUCCUAUAUCUUUCUGUGUACAGUCCAUUAGGGUGCAAUGACAAAGCUCAAUGAAUCGUUAAAAUUGACAAUGUAAACCAACUUUUCAACGAUUAUAUAUGUUACACAGAUCGAUUUGUACACAUUCUUCGAACUAGUUAUCGUGCCACUGAAAAUAAGAAUGGUGGAACCCCUUAAUAACCUUGGAAAAUUGGUGGCGGUGGUGAUGCGUAUAGCGAGCCCAAUGAUGGAGGAAGAGCAACAUCCUCAAAAGUGGGUGGAGGUGGAGGUAAGGCUACAGGUGGGGGUGGUGAGUGGAUAAGUGGCGGUGGAGGUGACGCUACCGGAGGCGGUGGUGAGUGAACGGGAGGUGGAGGUGACGCUACCGGAGGCGGUGGUGAGUGAACGGGAGGUGGAGGUGGAGGUGAGGCCACUGGUGGCGGUGGUGAGUGAACGGGAGGUGGAGGUGAAGCCAUUGUUGGUGGUGGUGGUGAGUGGACGGGAGGUGGAGGUGACGCCACUGGAGGCGGUGGUGAGUGGACGGGAGGUGGAGGUGAGGCCACUGGUGGUGGUGGAGAUCGAGCUGGAGGUGGUGGUGAAGCCACUGGGGAUGGAGGUGAAGCCAGUGGUGGUGGUGGUGAGUGGACUGGAGGUGGAGGUGAUGCCACCGGUGGUGGUGGAGAUUGGACUAGAGGUGGUGGCGGUGAUGGUGGUGGUAAAGUAUUUGGUGGUGGGGGAGGUGAGGCAACUGGAGGUGGGGAUGGGGGUAAAUAAUUUGGUGGUGGGGGAGGUGAGGCAACUGGCGGUGGUGGAGAUGUGACCGGGGGUGGAAUGGUGGUUUUUGGUGGAGGUGAUUUGGGAGUCGGUGGUGGCGAUAGGGUUGGAGUAGAUACAUGAGGUGGCUUUGGUUUUGGACUCGUAGGUUUUGGUGGAGACUUUUUGGGGGUUGAAGGGGUGUUUUCUUUAGGUGGAUCCUUUGGACUCUGCCCUUGUGGAGAAAAUCCACAAUGACCUUUACUACAAUCAACAGGGUUGCUCAAAACUGGUAAACAUUCCUUCUCUGUCUUUUGAUCUGGUUGUUCCUGCAAACAAUUUUCUUUGCCUUCAAUUUCAAGAUCAUGGGAGCGCGACGGCGUACAUUUUUGGUCCAAGCUCUCAAAAUAGUUGUUGGAGAAUGUCAAAUUGGCCAAGUUGGGCAAGGUACAAAGGUUUUCUGGAACAUUUCCCAUGAACUUGUUGGAUGCAAUGUCAAAGACUUCAACUUGCUGCAUGUACUUCAAAUCCUUUGGUAAGGAUCCAACGAACUUGUUUCCGCUAAUGUCGAACGUCGUUAGGCUCGUCAGCUUGGUAAUUUCUUCAGGUAAACAACCAGAGAGAUCAUUGUUUGUGAAAACAAGCUCAUCUAUUGUGCUACUCAUUUUGCCAAUGCUGCUUGGAAUGCAACCAAAGAAUUUGUUAUUCGCCAAUACCACCACUGAAGCAUUAGAAUUACCCAAAUUUUCAGGGAUGGUAGAAUGGAAUCGGUUAUUGUUAAGAAAUAUGGCAUCAAGAUUCUUCUCAAAUAGUGCAGAAGGCACUGAACCUUCAAAAUUGUUGUACCUAAGAUCAAGAUAUUUAAGCUUAGGCAAUUCCAGCACAACUUCUGGGAAUGGCCCCACAAAACGAUUGUUGCUGAAAUCAAUCUCAUCUAAAAGCGUAAGAUUUUUAAUGCUCUUAGGAAUGAUUCCACAAAACCGAUUAGAGUUAAUGUGGAUAAGACUAACAUCAGAUAAAAGGCCAAGCUCGACAGGGAGGUGUCCAGCUAUGUCUGCAUGGUUAAGAUCAAUGCCAGCAACAACAGAGAUAUUGGGAUUGUCGAGAGCAUUGUCACAAAAGACACCAUUAUAGGCACAAACAUUAGGACCUUCCCAGUUAGCCGUGAAGUUUGUUGGGUCGGAGUAAAUAGCUUUCUUCCAUGCCUGAAGAGCAACAUAAGCUUUUUUCAACCUGGAAUUCGCGAAUGCCAUGUUAAUGGUCAUAUCAUACUCGCCUUUGUCACCCAAAAGCUGGCGACGAGCAAUGGAAGCAGCCUCAACAUCAGUUAUUGCAAAAGAAGAUGAAGAAAGAGAACAGAAUGAUACAAGGAAGAAGAGAAGAAAAAAACCCGAGGCCAUAAUGCUUGGAUUAAGUCCACUUGGGUUAGGCCCAAGGCUGCUUAUAGCAAUCUAUCUUGCAAAUGAAAAUGGAGGGUUUUAUAUGUAGGCAGAGGAAGGAAUAUUCGUGGUUGAUAGGUUAUUACUGAAGGUGUUUGAAUUUGGAACCAUAUUUUGCGGAAACUUGUUUGAGCACCAUGGAAUUUGGAAGGUCAAAAUAAACUCAGAGAAAAAUUUAAGAAAUGAAUGAAUAGGGGUAAUAUUUGAUCCAUCAUUUACCUACUAGCAUGGAAAAUCACCAAUUACACGAGUUUCUUUUACUGUCUAUUAACAAAUGGACAUUAAUUCAUAAACAGGUUUUAUUUCUUUGUGCUAGCAAAUAAUUGCCACAUUUUUUCAUUAAAGUUUGAAAUUUUCACAAUGCAUUGGCUUUUCUACUGGAUUUCAGUUUUUCACUGGAUUGCUCUACUCCUCCGCCAAAGCUCUAAAACCGGUGCUUUUAUUCUUCCUUUGAUAAUUCUUCCACUCUCCUUGGCAGAUUCCAUUUAGAUGACAAUAAAUCCCUCAAGAAAAUAAUCUUUAUUUAUGGUCUCUUGUUAGUUCCUAAACCCACAGUUUAGUGACACAAACUACUGACUAAGUGGCUUUCAAGGCUUAAUGAAAUUUUACCUUCCAAUUAAAAGCAAAAAUAGAUGAUGUGAAACAUCAAACACGUGCUCCUUGAUCAUAGGAGUACGUGGAGAGAAAAAAACUACUUCUAUUCAACAAUUAGAUAGGAGACUUGCCUUUACUGUCUUCAAUGUCUUAGACUUUAGGAAUAAUUGGCAGAUGCUGAAAUUUAACCAUGGACUGCCUAUUUCCAUUUGGUAUUUUCCCUUCAACACAGCCCCUUUACCCACCCAAAACCACCACCACCAUCAAAAUUCUCUCGCCAGGACAAAGGGAGGGACACAAAUGUUUUACCCAAUACUUCUAUGAAGCGGGCAGAGUCUGAUGCAAAUGACAAGGGAAGUAGCUCUAUUCACAUCAGGGAAUUUCUAAGUAAACAUAAUACUGAUUCACCCUGGCCAUUUUAAAAUUUUAAGUGCACUAAGAAAAAUUAGGCUUAUGUUAUGCAUCACCAAGACUUAAAGAUUCUAGUCACUAGUGGUACUAAUCCGACGGGGUUACAUAUUAAUCCGCUACAGCACCAUGGACCUAACAGGCCAAGAUUGCUAAUUUGAUAAAAAUUGAAAUUAUUUCUAGGAUGGAUUACAACCUCUCCAUAAUCGCUGGGAUCUAUAGAUCAAAAAUAGGAUAGGACGCGAUGGCGGAGUCACGUUUAACCAAGGAGUGUCUCGUCGGAAAUUACAUUGCUUGCUGGGUAAAUUUUUUUGUUUUAUGCAUAUUUACAAUAAGUUGAACCCCUUAACUUGGGAACGAAUAUGUUAAUAACUGAAGAUUACUCCAAAUGGUUUCAUUUUUGUGAAACAGCUGUUCUUUGUUUUUUUUUUUUUUUGGGGGGGGGGUUGGGGGGAGGUGGGGGAUACCGAGGUUAGGUGCUUAGAAACCACUAAAGUGCUUAAUCGCCAGACCAGGCCAUUAACAUACCUUUGCUUUUAACUAGUAGGAAUAGCAAACUGUUAAAAGGGGGAAAGCGACAUUAGUUUAACACCAUCUAGAAAAGACCUCAAAGAGCACGUAGAAACUUAACUUUACUGCAAUUAAAACUUCCCAAAAACCAAACCAUAUUUACAUUCAAAACAAAUGGAAAUUCUUAACUAAACAAUAGAGUAACUAUUUUAAGUAACUAUUUUAUGCUACACUAACAAAAAUACGUGAUAACAUCCCACAAAUUUUACCACAUUGGCCAAGAAACACCCUUCAACUCCAUUUCUUGACCUUAUUACUUGGUUCACUAAAGCUCCAAAAGCAUGCUUUUUAUGGAUUCCAUGUCAAUAAUCAAGUGCAGACGAGUACCAAACAGGGUGUGUUCCUUUGGCUCUGAGAAGUCUAGUAAAGGGUGAAUCUGGCAUUCUAGCCUUCUCCUCUUCUUCAAGCUCUUCUCUUGUCUUUGGUAAUCCAUCAGGGACAGGGCAAGGUCUUGCCACUUUUUCCUCAAGAUUCGCAAUCUUGGCUGAUUCUUUGCUUGCUCGUUUUGCUUUGUGCAUGUCUGAAACUCCAUGUAAACAACCAAUGAGAGUUUUUACUCCACCUGCUUGAAGUAUUAGCCUCUCUACCUCCUCCUUAGGAGCUUCUUUCUGGAAAGAAAAACAAAAGCAAAAACAAGUGUGAAGGUGCUAUACAUUAAAUAUCUGGCCAAUUGUUCUGUUUGGAUUUACAAAAAGCUCAAGUAAUUGGCUUGAUUGAUAUCUUCAACGGAUAUUAUAAGAGUAUCUGUGAUAUGGGGCUACUUUUCAUUUAUAUGAUCAGUAUUUAGUACAGCUAAGAAUCCAAUUUAUAUGGAAUUGUUCUCUCACACUAUCUGGUAGUCAUAUACACACAACUACUACUUCGGCUCAACCCAAAACCAAGUUGGACUUGAAUAAAUGAAUCUUCAAUUUAAGCCCAUCUCAGUCCAAUAUUAUACAAAAUAAAAAGUAUUAAAAACUCUCCUCCCCAAUGAGGCAACUCAAAAGGCACGGUCAAGUCCAUAUACGCACACAACGUCAUAUAAAUUUGUCAAGUCCCAUUCUACCAAAUGCCUAAACAGAUAAGCAGCUAAAACAAUCUCCACAAUCGUCCCAAGAAUGGAAUUGCUGACAAACACUCCACAAUUAAUUUGUCAAAAAACACUCCACAAUUAAUACAAAGCCAAUCUCAUUUUUAUUACCCACUAAGAACCAACUUUCUAGACAGGUUACUUAAUCGACAGAAACAAAAGCCUACUAUCUGACAACACAGAAUCAAUACAGUAGCAAGACUCCAUCAAAUAAAAAGGCUACAAAAUUUUAUUUCAAGAACCUAUAACAGUGCUGAUUGAGAACUUACUUCAAGAUCUUUGAGUUCAAAAUAGGCCUGCCAGCAGCUAUAGGAAUCAUCCCCUUCUAGAACAGAACAAUAAUCUGCACAUUACCAUUUACAGAGUACUCCAUUAGUAAUUUUAACAAGCAGAUAAUACUUACUUUAGACAACAAAAAAAGAUGUCCAGUUACUAGAUCCCCAAUUUUUAUUUUUAUGUUGUGUGAAUACGAACGUAGUUCGUAAUAGACAACUGAAGGUGGUGUGCGCAAGCUGGCUCGUACAUUAACUUCUUAAAAAGGAAACGAGAAAUUUCCCUGGAACCACUAUUUUUAUAUAAAGCAAUUCUUUUUUUUUUCAUCAACCAUUCAGGAAAGAGAAAUUUUGAAGAAUUUGUUAUAACAUUAAACGAGCGAGCAAUCUAAUCAAUAACUUACAGGCAAAGGAAACGUAAAAUUAAGAAAAUACAGGUACAGGAGAUUAAGAUCUGGACAAUACCUGAAAGUUCGUUUUCGGAUUUUUCAAUCAAAGGAGGGUCUUUUACAACCCUAUCGAACUUGGUUCUGCUAAAAGGCUCCAGCUUUGGUAUAUAAGCAUGGCUCCUUGAACAACAACGUAUUGUCGACGAAUUAAUUACAUUAAAUCUUGAAGAAGAUGAUCUUUUUGAAGAAUAUUGAAGCUCAUUAGCUCCAACAAGAGAAGAAGAUAAUGAAUUUAAAGUCACUGCUUGUAACACCAUUGAUAUUUUUAGAACCAAGAUAAGAAGAUAUCAUCAAAAUGCUGAAUAAUUGUUGAAGAAAUUUAAGGAUAUAAAUAGAGGAUGAGUUAGAUAUAAAGAGAAAGGAGGAGUCAGAAGGAAUUGGGAAUGGAUAAGGAUGAGAUAUUUUUUAAUAUUUUUCCACUAGAAGAUAGAUAGUAUUACUUGUUGGUGUUGAUUAGAUUUGUGACAAUCAAAUUAUGGCCGUAGAUUUGUGUCUAUAUGUCAUCGUGAUCAAAUGACGGUCGUAAAAAUGGAAACGUAGGAUGCGGCGGCCCUGUUAUACAGUGGGGCUUUUUUUUCCUGGGAUAUUUUAAUGACAAUAGCGUAUGUGGAAAUUUUAAAGAUAUUUUAUUAUGAGCCCACAGUUUUUUCUUUGCUUUGAACUUUUUGCUUUUUCAACUUUGUAAUUUGUCGUGAAGCAAAAGAAAGAAAUUGUUAUUGCCAGUCUUUCGCAUUUGGUCCCUCGAAAGUUUCUCGAUAAUAAUAGCAUAUUUGGUCAAAAAGUUUUUUGUCAAAAAUAUUUUUUUCAUAAUUAAAGAUUUUAAAAGAAAAAAUAUUUUUGAGUAGAAGCAUAAAUAGUUUUUGAGAAGAAAAAAAAAAGUAAUUUUUUCCUAAGCAUUUUUCUAAAAAAAAUACUUUUGAUAAAAAUACAGUUAAAGCACUUUUUAAAAACUUGGUUAAAUAUUAAUUGAUGUUCAGAAAUACUUUUAAAUUAAUUAGCUAAACACAAAUUAUUUCAGCAAAAGCAUUUCUUUGAAAAACACUUUUCAAAAUGAUCUGAUUUUAGAAGCUUGACCAAAUAGACAAUAAGUAAGCGUUCAAACAUAAAAAUAUAAUUCUUUUUAAAAGUAAUUUUUAGAAUUAAAGUUUUUAAAAAAAGUAUUUAAAAUUUACAAGCAUUUUACUUGAAAAAUAGUUACAAUUUACGAGAAGAAAUAAAAUUUUGCAUGAAAUAUUUUCAAACUUGGUGUUGGAUAUUAGGUUUGGGUCGCGGGUCGCCUAUGUGGACUGACUCGAUCCAUUUUAGAAGAGAUUAAAUUUAAGGAUACUAACUGAGGUUUUAUAACUCCUAAAAACUACCACAUAUUAUUGAGAAAUGCGGGAACGUGCAACGGUGGUUUUCAUUGGUAGUUUUUCCUCUAUUCCUCUUCUGUAUAUCUCUCCUGCAGAAGAAUUCUAAGUGUGUGAAAUAUUUUUUUUCUUUUCCCAACAUAAGACAUGCACAAAAGAGAGAAGGAUUUAGUUUGUGAAAUAAACUGUGUUUUCUAGUUAUUCAAAGUAGAUUUGGGGCAAUUAUCUUGAUAGCAAUUGCAACAAUUUUCGCUACAUAACAACGUAUACACACAAUUUAUUGUUCGUGCUCCUUAAUUCAAUUUACAAUGGUAUCAGAGCCUUUGAAGUAUGUUCUAUUGAGAUUAAUACACAAUUGAAUUUAAAUCAGUAUUAAUUUUAUUACACCGUUGAUUAAAGAGAGUUUGAAUGAAUUCGAUGUUUGUAAUUUAUGUGAAAAAUUUUCCUUAUCCUAAUAGUGUUUCCUGAUUAGAUGACUUCUUUUUACUUGACUUUAAUUGAACACGGAAAGGAUUCAUCUUCAAUUCAAGGAGAGUAAUUUGCUAUUUUCUUCUGUCUACCACCAAGUAGAUAUAUGUGUGUUCAUAAAAUUUUGUGAAGAAUUUUGCUACUGCCAUGAAUUAAUUUUAUUUUUGUAACAACUAUAAAUUUUUUCGUAGUAAUAUAUCAUGGCUUGAUAUUAAUUGUAUGACAAGAUAAGAAUCUGAUGGACAAGUAUUUGGAAGGUACAAUGUUUCUGAAAGAUUCAUCUUAUCGUUUUAUACUAAUAAUAUAAGAGUAGAAAGAAAAUUUUCUUUGACUAUAAACUUAUAAUGUCUUAUUGCUAGUCCAUGAGUGGGACAUAAUAUCUUUACAAUAAUUGAAUCAUCAAUUUAUUUAUUUAUUUUUUCGAAAAAGACAAGAGGCCUCUUUUAAUUAGGAGGGAUCGUUUAUUCUCUUCGUGGAUAUAAUAAGUGAUGAAGUUUGGGGUCCAUGAUAAUGGGACUUUACAGUGCAAUUAUUAUGUUUUGGAUUUAUUGAUUCUUGAAAUGUAAAUUUUCAGAAAAUAACUUUAAAGUCCGGUAAAUCCAUAUAUAUAAAUUUGUCUUUCUGCACUUGGUUUAAAGAAUAACUACUUGAUAAUGGAUAAUCCAAAAGAGAUUGUUUCUCUAAUAUUUCCCCAACGUGAAUGGUUAUGAUAUUGCAUCAUUAUAUAUAUAAAUUUUUGUUGCUGUUUGAUUCUUAACCGAAUUUGAUGCAGUGCUUCCUUGACUCUAAGUAAAAUAAUCUAGUAGAAAAGAUUCAUGCGAUAUCUUUACACUGAUCUGUCAAAGUACUUUGCUAAGACAAUGAAUUUAUGUGUUAUGAGAAUUGGUCUUAAUUGAACUCACUGUCUACUUAAAGUAGAAAAUUAGUUUAGCCCCUAUCCCUUAGAUUGAUAUACUUGUACGAGUUAUUAUGACAUAUGUUGUCACAUUGAAUAAUUGUAGUCAUUCUUAUUGUUUCCUUGGUCAUAUUUCAGAUAUGGCUGAACAAGGACAAGUUCGAAUUACUUCAAGUGGGAGUUCUCGAAGUCGAGUAAGGGGACAACGUAGAAGGAUGCAUCGUUGCAUGACUUGUUUCCACAAUAAUUCUGACUCGGAGCCUGAAGUCAUCAAGAUAGUCCCGAGGGCGAUGCAAAAUGAGUUAAAGGAUAGAAGGGCUGAACAAAGGGAAGGAGAAACGAAAUUUAAGGAGUUUAAGAAAUUUAAAAUGGGCCCCGAUACAUUCAUUCCCGAACAUGUACACCUUUUUUAGUUAAAAAGAGCUAAAUUACCUAAUUACAUAGAGAUUAUUGAUUGGAAAGCGUCAGAUAUUUUAGCGGACUCUCUUUGAGAGCAUUGAGAUGAAGUUUUAAUUGAGAUUUAUCAUGAUAUUUGGCCUCGUGCACCUUUUAGCGUAUAUGUGCAAGAGUUAGUGUUCGAUUGGUUCAUGUAUGUCCUAGCAAAAAUGUAAAUUGUUAUUAUAUAUUUUAUUUUAAUAAAAUUUAAAUUAUGUUAUUUAUCUCACUAGUUACAUAUAUUAUUUAUUAUUUUAUUUUAUAAUGGAUUGAGACUUGAAAUAAAAUACACACUAAGAAGUGAUUUUAAUAUUAGUUAAAAUAUUUAUAUAUAGAUGAUGAAUGAAAACAUAGUGACAUUUCGAUUCUAUACUAAAUGUAGAAUUAAUAUUAUAAUUAAUUUGCUUGACUGUAUAAUCACAUGCAUAAAUUGACUGAAGUAUAUGAUGAUGAGUUAAACUUGUAAUAUUGUCUCUAAUGACAGACAUGGCAUUGAAAAGUAUUAUUGCUGACUUGAACAAGAGUGACAAACUGAAUGGUGAAAAUUACGACAUCUGGAGUCGUAAGAUGUGGUAUGUACUCGAAGAGUAAGUAUGCUCUUGAAAGUAUUAACCAUGUUAUGAGUCACCCAAAGGAGGGCAACACUGCCCAACACACGAGGAAUCUGGAAACUUAUAAUAUUUGGAAAAAGAAAGAUUUCACUGCAUGUGAAAUUAUUGUAAGUUCAAUUACUGAUGAUGUCAUCCAUAAAUGUGAGCAAUAUCCUAGUGCUCAAGCCAUGUGGGCACAUUUAAAAGAGGCAUAUGUCGGUACAACUGUGACUCGCGUUAGACAACUGACAAUCAAGUUUGAUACGUACAAGAAGCGUCAUGAUCAUAGUGUCAAGCAACACUUAAGGGUGAUGUCAAACAUGACUGCUCAACUGAAAAGUGUUGGUCAUGUUCUCUCCGAUGAGCAGUAGGUUCAAGCAGUGAUCUGGUCUCUUCCCAAUAAUCGGGAAUAUUUGAAGGUUAACUUGACCCACAAUGACAAUAUCAAAACUUUUGCUGAUGUUGCCCGUCAUGUAGAGCUUGAAGAUGAGCGGCUUUGUGAUGCUAAAGUUGUAUUUAGUGUCUUUGUGGCAGAGUCAAGUGGUACAAAGAGUUCAAGAUUCAAGCACAAGAAUAACUGGAAAAACAACGGAAAGGGUAAGGAGAGCGGAGAAGGAUCCUCAAAGAAAAGAAACAAGCCAAAUUCCAAGAAACGAAAACGGUUCUUUAAGAAGAAAGAUAAGAGCAAGAUUGUCACGACCCAAUUUCGCCUAUAGGUCGUGAUGGCGCCCAACAUUACCGCUAGGCAAACCAACUAGUGAAUUAAACAUAUAUUUCCUCUUUUAAUAAAUUUUCGAGUAAUUAAACUUCCUUAUUUGCAAGAUUUAAGAAAAUAAAAGGUUUAAAUAAAUAAAACCAACGUAAUAAUUCAAUACCACAAUUCUACUAGUGUGUGUGCCAAGACCUGGUGUCACAAGUGUAUGAGCAUCUAGUAGAUUAUAAAAAAUUCUAAAUAAUGUCUGAACAUAAAAUAGAUAGAAUACGAAUACGAAGAGAGACACUAGGUGUUGCGGUACGGCUCAGGAAAAGUAGCUCACCACUAGGCCUCGGGAUAUCGGGGAUGCGCACCGGUAGGACCGCCUGAUGCACCUGUCUCAGAUCCUACACAAAAGUGCACCAAGUGUAGCAUGAGUACGUAAACAACGUGUACCCAGUAAGUAUCAAAUCUAAUCUCGAAAAAGUAGUGACGAGAGGUCGACUUCGACACUCACUAUGGGUCAAUAAUUAUUCAGAUAAAAUCUUAAUUAAAUACUGGAUGUGUAAAUAAAUUCAAAUCUUCUCAACAAGCAGGAGCAAAUGAUUCUUUCACAAUUGUAUAAUUUUCAAAUAAAUCAUUCCUUUUUAAAGGUUGUAAUCUUACAAGCCACAACAAAAUAUCAAGACACCAAGUAUUAUUAUUAAGCACGAUUUAUGCCGAGGUCGUACGGCCCGAUCCAGAGUAACGUGUGCACUGCUGAGGGAUGUGCGGCACGAUCCAUAGUUGCAUCUAUCUACUGCCGAGGCGUUCGGCCCGCUCCACAAGAAGAGAAGGAUACUUUAUAAGCAUUUGACUUAACAUGAUUAAAGAUUUAUAUAGAAAGUAAUAAAAAUUUCAUUAACUACCUUCCAUAAUUUCUCUAACAAGUUCUAAUAUAAUUUAGGCAUUUUAAUUUAACAAAUAUGGUGCAAGGAUUCCAAAUAGUUCAUGCAUUGGGUCCUAAAACUACCCGUACAUAAGCAUAACUAGUAGCUACGCACAGACUCUCGUCACCUCGUACGUACGUAGCCUCCACAAUUAGAAACAAUUAUUUAUUUACGAUACCUAUGGGGUAAAUUCCCUCUUACAAAGUUAGACAAGAGACUUACCUCGUCUCAAAGCUCACUUCCGGUCGCUAUUUCACGCUAAAGCCUCAAUUUGGUGCCAAAAAAUCCGAAACUAGUCAAAUAUUAUAUAAUUUAAUCAAUACAUGCUCAAUAAUUCGAAAUUAAAUUAUUAGAUUAAUUACCUAACCCGAAUUGGUAGAAUUCCUAAAAUUCACCCGGGCCCCGGAUUCCGAAAAUAUUUGGAGCAAAUCGUCACCCAUAAUCUUAAGAACUCAAAUAUACAAUUUUCAUCCCAUUCCAUAAUCAUUUUCGUGGUUAAAUAUCAUUCUUAUCAAAACCUAGGUUUUUUAUCUAAACCCAUAAUAUUUACUAAUUUACAUGUUAAAAUCUACCCAUAAUCUAUGUAUUUAACUCACAAUAGGUAGAAUUAACUUACCUCCAAGUUGCUAGGUGAAUACCCCUCUUAAGAAGCUCCAAAAUCGCCCCAAAAAUGAAGAAAAUGAGUCAAAAAUACUCAAACCCCGACUUAAAUGAAGGUUCUGCCUUCUGUGAUUUUCGCACCUGCGGAGGUACAAGCGGUCCCUCCCUCGCACCUGCGCGCUCGUAGGUGCGCCCAAUUGCUUCGCUCCUGCGGCUUUUGAGCUGCCCCCGCUGGACCGCUUCUGCGGCUUCUUGCUCACAUCUGCGAGCUCGCACCUGUGGCUGUCCAUGUGCAUGUGCGAUUACAUCAGAAGUUGGAAGCUUCAGCCAUUGCUCCUAAGUCCAAAUUUGGUCCGAGCCUCGUCUGAUUAACACCCGAGGCCCCCGGGGCCCCGCCCGAAUAUACCAACAAGUUUGAAAUCAUAACACGGACUUGCUCAAACUCUUGGAACGCAUAAAACAACAUCAAAACUAAGAAUCAUACCCCAAACCAAAUUGAUUCAACUUAGAAACUUCAAGUUCUUCAAGCUUACUCCGAAUGUGCCGAAACAUACUUAAACAACUCGUAAUGACAUCAAAUUUUGCGUGCAAGUAUUAAAUCACCAUACGGAACUAUUCCCAUGCUUAGAAUUCCAAACGGAUCUUGAUUACUCCAAACCAAAUUUGAAGAACUUUAAACCUUCAAAUAGCCAACUUUCACUAUUAAGCGCUGAAACGCUCCCGGGUCGUCCAAAACCUGAUUCGAACAUACGCCCGAGUCCAAAAUCAUCAUAAAAAUAUAUUGGAACCGUCAAAUCCCGAUUCCGGGGUGGUUUACUCAAAAUAUUGACCGAAGUCAAACUUACCCUUUUAAAGCCAAAUUAAGAAACCAAGUAUUCCGCUUUCAACCCGAACCCUUCAAAUUCCUGAACUAACCAUCCCCGGAAGUUAUAAAAUAGUAAAAGCACAUACGGAGAGUCUUAUUUAGAAAAAUAGACUUCUAAAAGGCAAAACAACCGAUUGGGUCGUUACAAAGAUGACGUACUAUAAUUGCCAAGUUCCGGGGCAUUUUGCUCAUGAGUGCACUGAGCCAAAAAAGGUAGCAUUUCAAAAUGCAUAUCUAAGUGCCGUGAUACAAAAGUAUUUAUAGAGUUUUGUCGAGUUCCACCUGGAUCAAGGCAUGUAUAUGUGGGAAAUAAUACAAAGCUUGAAGUCAAAGGGAUAGGCACUUGUAGAAUGGACAUACUUGGUGGCCGAUCUUUGAUGUUGCAUGACGUCCUAUAUGUUUCAGAGAUUCGACGAAACUUAGUGUUUGUGUCUGUUCUUCAAGAUUUAGCUUUCAAUUUGAACUUUAGUCGCCAUGGACUUAGAAUUACUCUAGACAAUGUUGUUUAUAGUUUUGGACAUCAUUAUAAUGGUUUUAUUGUAUUAGAUUAUGAUCCUUCUACAUAUAACUAUUAUGUUGACCGUUAUGUUACGGCAUGUUAUUCUAGCAAUAUUGAUAUUGAUGUUAUUACAUGGCAUGCAAGAUUAGGUCACAUAGGGCAGGAUCGAAUGAAUAGAUUGGCUAAGGAAGGACAUUUGGGUUCUUUCUCUAAAAUUGAAAUGCCAACUUGUGAAAAUAGUCUUACCGAAAAGAUUACACGUAAACCAUUUAGAAAGGCUAAGAGAUCUGAUUUUCCAUUGCGAUUAAUCUAUUCUGAUAUUUGUGGUCCAAUGAAUGUGAGGGCUAUCUGGUGCUUUAUAUUUCAUUACGUUCAUUGACGAUUUCACGCGUUUUGGUUAUGUCUAUGUGAUUUUCCAUAAAUCUGAAGCACUUGAAUACUUUAAGAAAUAUUUGAAUGAAGUUGAGAAUCAAUUAGACAAAAGGAUUAAGACCUUAAGAACCGAUAGAUAGCGUGAAUAUCUAUCAAAAGAAUUUAAAGGAUUGUGUAAUAAAAUAGGCAUUACCAGAUAAUUAUUUCUUACACACCUUAACAAAAUGGUGUAGCGGAAAGGAGGAAUAGAAUAUUAUUGGAUAUGAUAAGGUCCAUGAUGGCGCAGAAAAAAUUACUUAUUUCCUUUUAGGGGAUGAGUUAUUGACUACAACCUACAUAUUGAUCAAAAUAACUUCUAAAUCAAUUUCUUUCACUCCUUAUGAGCUAUGGACUGGUCACAAAGCAAACUUAAAUGAUUUACGACAUUGAGGUUGUACUGCAUAUGUAAAAGAUUCUUUUAACAAAUUUUGUAAAUUAGGUCCAAAAGGUAAGAAAUGUAUCUUUAUAAGAAAUUCAGAACACUCCAAAGGGUAUGUGUUUAUUUGUGAGUUAGAGGAUGGAAGUGUUACUGAGAUUGAAUCAUGAGAUGUCACAUUUUUGGAAAAUAAUUUUUCAAAGAAGAGCGGUGUAAAGAAUGGAGAGCCUCUUUAUGUAAUGUUGAACUUAGAUAGUCAGCAAGUGUCUUCUGACACAAGUUGAUAAUCAAAUCGAUAAAGAUCUUGUUCUUGAUCCGAGUGGGAGUGAGACUGCUCAAUCCCAAAAUCCUUCUAACGAAUCUGAAUUUCAACUACGAAAGAGUACCAAGAAAAAUAUACCCAAACGUACUUAUGGGAUUGAAGAUUACAUUUUCUUGGUAUCUCCCACAGAAAUGGAUGAGCCAAAGUCUGUGACUGAGGCUUUAUCGAGCCCUGAAAAAGAUGAGUGGAUGAAAGCAAUGAAAGAAGAAUUAGAGUCCAUGAAAACUAACAAUUUCUGGGAUCUAGUUGACCUUCCACUUUGGCGUAGAGCCAUUGGGAACAAGUGGGUUCUCAAAGUUAAACGCAAAGUGGAUGGGUCAAUAGAAAGAUACAAGACAUGAUUAGAGGCAAAAGGCUCUACUCAAGAAGUUGGAAUAGAUUAUGAGGAAAUAUUUUCACAGUUGUAAAGUUACCUCAAUUCGCUUAUUUUUGGCUAUUGUUGCUCUACUAUUGCAUGCACAAAAGAUCCUAAGUAUCACAGCAAGACCAAACACAUUGACAUCAAGCAUAACUUUGUGAGAAACAUGGUUGCAAGUGGAAAGAUAAAUUUACAGUACAUUCCUAUGCGAAAUAUGAUAGAUGAUCCUUUUACAAAGGCGAUAUCUAGAGACUUGUUUGAGAAAUAUGUUAUGACUCUAGUUUUGCGAAGGAUAUAAACAUAUUUAUGUAUUGUAAAAAGACUUAUUAUUGUGAGCACCUAAUUUUUGACUAUAUUUGAACUUUUAUCACCUUUUCACCAAUACCUCACUUCCCAUUUCCCACUAACACUCCCACUUUUCCCACUCACUUUCCACUUCCCCCACUUUCCCCAUUCAUGUCCCCCACUCUCCCCUCUCAUGCUCCCCACUCACCUCCCCCAUUCUCUCUUACAUAAACAACUCACGCAUAGCACACAAGAAGAGGAUGGGGCUGAUAUUGUCUUCUUCUUCCUAACCACACUCUAUCUUCUUGUAUCAAAAAACUCCAUUAAACCCCCACCAAAAUGCAGCUCCAAAAACAGUCUUUAUUCCUCAACGAAAACAUCUCAAAAUCAACGCUAAAACACAGCCACAACAGUACCCAAGAACAACCAAAACGCUGCCAGUUUGCACCCUCACAACAGGCCUAAACUUGCUCCCAAACACAAGCUAAAAGUUGCUGAAAUCAGUUGGAAAACGCAGCAAACACAGCUGCAAAUCACCACCCAAAUUUCAGUUCUAAAUCAGCCCUAAAAUCUCACCCCAAACAACUGCGAAAAUAGCUUCAGAAACAGCCACGAAAUCCAGCUGAACCACAUUCAAAAAGCACCAUUAAAAUCACCUUCUAAACACCUCAUUUUAGCUUCGAAAACCUCACCCAAAACUAGCUGAAAACAGUGAUGAAAAUCAGCUCCUUUCAACAAAAAAAAAACUUAACAAAACCUGCUGUAAACUCACUCCAAAAUACCCCAGAAUACAGCUUCAAAAUAAGUGCAAAAUCAAUUCCGAAAUCAUCGCCAAAGUGAGGGAGUGUUCGAGUUUUCCGAUUUGAGGUUCUGGUCAAUAGCUCAUUCACUCCAGUUUGCUAUUUUAGAGAUCUUAUUUCACUGUACAUGGCAAAAAAUAUGCAGCAAUAAAGGUCCAAAUUCUUCUCCCAUCUAUUAGUUCCUUUUAAUUUUAUAUGUAUGUGAGGUUUUGUUUGGCAUGUAUUCUAUGAAUAUGUCGAUUGUUUGAUUAUUGGAUGGAUGCAUCUUGUCUUAGUAAUUAUGUUGAGGUUAAUUGUUUAGAGUGAGCAAGAUAAUUUAUUAUUAAUUGAGCAAAUAUCGUUGAUUAACAAAAGUAGGAGGGUAUUUUUGAUCUCACUGGAUUGCCCUUUAUUUGAGCUUAAACUAAUUUGUAAAGUUGAAAAUUAAGAGUUAGAAGGAUUGUUAGCUUUGGCUGAAGCUUAUCACCAUAAUUGAGCCUUGGUUGUUAUUGUCUUGUAAAAGAAAUGGGCCAAACGUAAUUUCUACUAAUAGGCCCAAAACGUUGAAUGAUUUCAAGAUAGAAUGUUAGUAAUUUGUUUAGUUGUAGAUAUCUCUAAUCGUUUAGCAAUACAAUUGAUUUUGUUAGUAAUUCAUAAAAGCCAAAUCUCGCAUUUUUCUACAAUAAUUUUCAUAACCCAUGACCUUCAUAAUAAUCUCAAACUGUAGGAAAAAAUAAAUUAAUUAUACAUUCGUAGCUUGCUUUGGGCGCAUUUAAUAAAUCAUCGUGACUAUGGGUACGGUUCCCGUGGCAUGGUCACGACACAUAAUCCCCAAUUCGAGUGUGCGUUUCACGUGACUCGACUACAACUUCAAACAAUAAUAAAUAAAAUUAAACACGUUGUAGAUUGCGGGUGCGUUUCACAUGACGCGAUUUACGAUGUGUAUAAACAACGAGUGUACGACAACGUAACUCGUCUCAUAUUAAUUCCAUAAAAGUUUAAAAUGCAGUAAUGUAAUAAAAGCGGUAAAAGGAAUAAAAAUGCACAUAUAGGUUUAAAACAUGUAUUAAAUCAGAUAACUAGACCAAUUAUUAAUAGUUGAGCGACCGUGCUAAAAUCACGGAAUUCGGGAGUGCCUCACACCUUCUCUCGGGUUAACAAAAUUCCUUACCCGGUCUUUUGUGUUCGCAAAUCAUAAAUAAGAGUCAAUUUUUCUCGAUUUGGGAUCGAUUCUAAAAUAAAUCGGUGACUUGAGACACCAUAAAUUAUUCCAAGUGGCGACUCUGAAUAAAACAAAUAAUCCCAUUUUGAAUAAUGUUACUUUAAUUGAAAAAACUCCCUAUCUCCUAUUCCUUCGGAAAAAAGUAGGUGUGACAAUUAUUAUAAUGUGCUCAUCAAUAUUUGACUUUGAAUUUAUGUUUAUAUCUAAUAUGCAUGUAAUGAUAUUUUGUUGACAAAGUGUGUCGAACAAGUCGCAAGAUUGACUCUCUCACACGAGUAAUCGCCUCUUACGUUGAGAAUCAUGAAAGAGAUGAGACCAUACAAAACCUUGAAUAGUGCGAGGUCAUAUUUUACUUGUAAAGGUCGGUCUUGACAACUAGUCUGACUUACAAAUUCCACUAUUUGAUUAUGACUUGUUUGGUAAGCCAGACGCGAGUUUCUCUAAGAAGAUGGAUUAAGGAUUAUUGAAGUGAGAAAUUCGAGUUAGACAUAUGUAGGUAUCUAGGCCAAGAUCUAUACGGUAUUGAAUGAGUAAAAGAAUAAGACACACACGCACUAAUAUAUGGUAAGAACACCGUAACACGUAUUUCAUACCAUGUGUGCUAACGACUAAUGGGAUAAUGGAAGAAUUGAUCCCUGCUUAUUAAUUGUGUGAGAUCUCCAAAAGUUAUAUUAACUUUUAUUGGAAUACCCUUUGACCUUUUACUAUUUCUUGAAGUGCCAAUCAAUGUUGCUAGUUUAGCAUGUCACUAGUAGCUAUGAGUGAUUCGGCAAUGCUGUGCAUGUCUAGGAAAGCAGUUGAUUUGGAAUGGAAAUAUUCGAGUAGACAGGGAAGACGACUAAAGUUUAGUAAUUUGAUUUGUAUUCAUAGGUCGACCAAUACACUUACCAUGAGAGUAUUGGGUGUAAUUAUGGAUACAAUGUUAUACGAGAACUCGAGUUUGCCUCUUUCGAGGAUGAGGGAUCGGAUAAGUAGCUACUAAAAUAGCUAAUGAUGUCUCAGGUAUUGCGAGUAAUAAGACCCUCAUGUUAGUAGUAAACCCCUUCCGCAUGUGAUUGGAUUUAUGCAUAGAGCUGUUAAACAACCUUAAAGGGUUUAAGAAUAUUACGACUCUUAAUGCCCGCAUGUCGCACGACCUAUUUACAAGUAUGAAUUAUGUGUGUUAUUUUCAUAGUAGUUACUAGUUUGGAUCUAGUCCACCUGUGCGAAAUGGGAGAUGUUGGAUAUUAGGUUUGGGUCGCGGGUCGCUCAUUUGGAUUGACCCGACCCGUUUUAGAAGAGAUUAAAUUUAAGGAGGUUACUAACGAAGGUUUUAUAACUCCUAAAACCUACCGCACAUUAUUGAGAAAUGUGGGAACAUGCAGUUUUCAUCGGUAGUUUUUGCUCUAUUCCUCCUCUAUAUAUCUCUCAUGCAGAAGAAUUCUCAAGCGUGUGAAAAUUUUCUAUUCUUAUCCCAACAUAACACACGUACAAAAGAGGAAAGACUUUAGUUUGUGAAAUAAACUUUGUUUCCUAGUGAUUCACAUGCUGAACCCGGUAAACAAAUAAAUAGGUGGUCUUUCCGAAAAUGUUAAACAAAAGUUUUUCCCUCGCAUCUCGAUCACUUUUACUUUUUCGUUAUUUUGUAAUCCCCAGGGUAUGAUACCUUAUAGCUUCACAGUUACAAGUCAUUUUCUCAUUACUUUGGGUCUCUCAUUUUCUAUUUUUAUUGGUAUUACUAUAGUGAGAUUUUAAAAAAAUGGACUUCAUUUUUUAAGCUUCUUAUUACCUGCAGGAGUCCCACUGCCAUUAGCACCUUAUUCGGGGCAAUUAUCUUGGUAGCAAUUGGAACAAUUUCCGCUGCAUAACAAGGUACACAUAAUUUAUUGCUCUUGCUCCUUAAUUCAAUUUACACUUGGAAACUCAUCUUCAAAAGAACUUUCAAAAAAGUAGUCCAGCUCCAGCGUAAAACGAAACAGGUUUUGAAAAAAAAUAAAAAAUAAAAAGAGAACAAUUUUGUAUGCACAAAUGGCUUAAUUCUACCAUAUGAAAAAUAGCAGUUUCGUUGCUUGAAGAAUAAUCAUAACUACUUUACAAGUCAUUGAUUAAGUAAUCUUUCUUUACAUGUCACUGUGUCUCUUUAGUAAAAGAUUUUAAAAAAAAUUUAAAUGGUGUAAUAAUGUACUCGUCAAGCAUUCAAGUCUUUUAGGUUUUAUUGUGAAACAAGCUGACUUUGUAAGGACUUAUGGGCUAGAAGUGUGAAUGAGUUUGAUCCAGUUGGAAUUAUUGGGCCUAACAAAAUAUUGAAGAUGAAUUUACUCAAAUAGCCGCCCUAUAAUCACUUAAAUUAAAAAGAAGAAUUAACCCAAAUAGCUGUCCACCCAACCGUUUAAAGUAAAAAUAAUCGGUGGAGGUAUAAUAUAUGCAUAAUUUAUGUAUUAUAUCUUUAUAAUUACUAGUUUCUCGGCACGUGCGUUGGAGGCAUGUAGUAUAUACUUUUUGUAAAUAAUAUUAAUAUUAUUAAAACAAAACUUUGAGUAAAAAUUAUACAUAAACGAAAAAUGUAUACAUGAAAGGAAUAAUACGUAAAGUUUUCCGCAAAAUAUAUACAAGUCCAUGUGUUCCUAAAAGUAUGCUUUUGCUUACACAAAUCACCAAACCAUCGUGUCCAAUAUUAUAAAUUUCUAAUCAAUUAUUUUAGUAAUCCAAAAGAUCUACUUCAAACCGUUUGUGCAUUGUUGAAUCAUAUCGCGAGUUGUGUUGAUUUGCAUAUAUUCGUCACACAGAAGAAAUUAACUAUAAUUAUAUUUUGACGAAAGGUUAUGCUACAAAGUACAAACUAUAGACUAGCGAAAAACAAAAAUUAUUGAACCAAUUGUUAUGAAGAUGAACAACAACCAAAAAAAAACAAAAAAAAAACAAACAAAAGACGCAUUAAAGUUAUUUAUCGAGUAGGAUAUAAAUUUUUUAAAAGAAUAAUUCAAUUGGACUCAUUUCAAAAUAUGGACUAAUCCAGCAAAACACUUUGUGUAGGAGCUACUGCAUUUGCAAGGUUAGCUAUUUGAUCUCAUUUCACUUAUCGUGAUAGAUUCAUAUCGAUUAUGUACUGAUCAGUGACCACAAUCACGUAUGGAUGUUGGUUUAUUACAUUCACGAUAAACUACUUAUAGUUUGUUUGACCAAUCUUUUAAAAUCGGCUUAUUUUGAGAAAUACUUUUCAAAAAAAUACUUUCGGUGAGAAGCAGCUUGUGUUUCGCUAAUUAAUUUGAAAAAUAUUUUUCAGUAGCAAUUAGUGUUUGGUCAAGCUUUUAAAAAGUGUUUCUAAGUGUAUUUUCUCAAAAGUUUUUUUUUUAAAAAGUGCUUUAGGAGAGAAACUAUUUUUUUUGCUCCUCAAAAACUACUUCUACUCAAAUACAUUUUUUCUUCUUCUAAAAGCUUNGCCAAACANNNNNNNNNNNNNUUCUUACUUCUAAAAGACUUAGCCAAACACUAUAAACUUUGGAAAAAAAAAAUACUUUUGACUUUGAAAAAGUUUGGCUAAACAUGCUAUUAGUAUGGAAUCAUAAAAUCUUAUAUCUUCAUGCUUGCUAAAUCAGUUACCUCUUAUUUUUCCCUCAUCACAGUCUUGAUUUUUAAUCUUUUGUAACUUCAUAAAGUGUGGACUUCAAGUGUAUCAAUGAGUGCAUCACCAUUAACUUGCAAUAUGAGAGCAACCAGAGUAGCACCCAAAGUCCUUUCAAUUACAGUACUAAACAGUGCUAGUCAUUACAUUACAUCUUCGAAUAUUUAUUCACACUAAAUAGUCCUUUCAACUACCUAACUGUAAAUUUUCAAUAUUUAUAAUAUUCUAUCUAAGCGUAAAUUUUUUAAUAUUUUUUGUCUAUUAAGUUAUUGCUUGCUUAUAUUUUUUAAGUUCAUAUGUACUAAGUUGGAACAGAAUCUGAAAAUUUAUGUAGUCUGCUAAUAUUCUGUGGAGAAUCUGCAUAUAUGUCUAAAAUUCAUAAUAUAUAUAUAUAUAUAUAUAUAUAUAAAAGAAACUAUAUCAAUACUAAUUAAGAGGAAUUUAUGCCUCUUACUAUGUUGGAUUUCAUAUUUUAAGAUAGUUAAACACUAUAAAUCGCCGGAACCUUUUUCUCUUUUUUUCAUUCAAAUCGCAACAUCAUUGUUUACCUGUAAAAUGAUACAGUUGAAUUUAUAUGUGGUUUCUAGACAAGUGAACUAAUUUAAUUCUGAAAUAAUAUAAUAAUUGAAGAAAUACACAAUACUUAGUAUUAGAAUGUAGAUGAAAUGGCAAAGAUGAUGAUUUCGUGAACAAGGUUUCCGAACACAGCAAUGAUAAGAUCUAAAAGUAAGAAAGUAUAAUUGUAUAAAGCUUUGUAUAGAAUAUAGUAUAUGUUCUUGUGAGAAAGUUCGUGUCCUUUACAAUAGUAACUGAGCUCACUAUUUAUAACUAUGCCUAGAGAAAAAGAUCCUAAUUCAACUUCGUGGUAAUGAAACGUACCCGCUCCGGGUCCGAAAUCUCUUUUAGUUCGAAAUACUGGUCCAUCGCGAUUAACCAGUCUAAGACCAUGUCACGGAGGGGUCUCGGCUUCCAUAAAAAAAAUAGGAUCAUGCCCUCCUUUAAUGCCAAUCAUGAGGGUCAUUGAUGAAGAUGUAACGUUGAGUAUAAAUGUCUAAUUCUCUGUAACGGACCGUCGCUCUUAAUGUUGUAGAAUAUUCCUUAGUAAAUAUUACCGGGCGUAGAGCAUUUAAUACACUUUUAUGAGCGUUAUCCGUUUCGGUGAUAAGCGUAAUGGCUGCGUUCUGUCCUCAACCAUCCCAUCUUGGAUUCCACGUGUCCUCCUUUUAGUCAUCCACGUGUCAUAUCAUAUAUACAGAUAGUCCCCCUGCUUUCCGGUAACAUAACUUUGUGUUACCGGAAAGUUGGUAGAAAUACCUUUUUGGCGAGAAUUACUAUAACUCCCUCUGGAGGUCUCUGACAGUUGAUUAGACGUACGUCUCUCCGUAUUUAAUGCCCCGAACACGCGUCAUCCCAUGAUUCAGCACAACUUUUGCCGAUUAUCGAGGUAAUCAUGUCUAUGAAUUUAGCCGCCAAAAUUUUACUUAUACGCAACUUUCUUUUCCUUUACGUUUCACAAUUGCUUGAGCUUCUGAUUUGCAUCCUUGUUUUCCAUUCUUUUUCUAAUUUUCUUCAAACAUAAACUCUUUACCUUCUUCUUUUCCAAUGGCUUCUUCUUCUAAACAUGGUGGUUCUUCAAAGAAUAAGAAAAAAAUUGAGGACUCUUGAUCUAUCGGAGCGAGUGACCCUUCCCAAGGAAGAUUUUAUAUACUUUUUCACGUAUCCCUUUACUUUGGGUGAGUUUUCUUUGAGCGGAGAUCUUGAUUUCGUGAUUGCGGAGUUUUGCCUUCGUUACCAGGUAUGUUUGUCACAGGUAAGUCCUUCAGUGUGGAGGACGAUCUCCUGCCUCCGACGCUUGUGCCAAGAAACUGGAGAAGAGCUAACCUUAGCUCAUGCGAAGAAUCUCUAUUCCCCCAAAAUCUUCCGCGGAGGAAUGAUAAACCUUUAUAAUCGUGACCACCAUGCUUUGUUGUCUAGCAUGGAUGAUGACAAUGAUCGUGGGUGGAUAGAACGGUUCGUUGCAGUGGCCACCAAUGACAUCAUUCCGACAACGGCUUCACCCUUUCCGGUUGCUUGGAACCUCACUCGUAAGUUCUUUGUAUAAUAUUCCUCUUAUUAAAUAUUCUUCUAUGGCCGUAUCAUCUCUUCACUCUUCGCAUGUUUCAGUAAUUCUAUGGCUCCCACCGAUAGUGGAAGGUUUGAACCGGUGGGUUCAGAAGAUUUUGGACAUCACAAUGCCCGAAACUUGUUCGUGAAAAAAACUGGCCCUUAAAUACGGGUGGAAGGACAAAAGUUAUGGUAACUCUAAUACCUUGUUUCCAUUUUUGCAUAUGAAGAACUUGGUUGAACCCUUCUGACUUUGUUCACAGAAUUAGGUUUACUUGCGGGCUCUGUUGUUGUCCCUGAAGAGGACGUUCUGGCUGAUCCUGCUGAUGCAACGAGGCUGCUUCAGGAAUAACUUACUCGAACAGGUAUCUCCAGGCUUGUUUCGAGUGCAAAUAUCUCUUUACGGAGUCCCCAGCCGAAGUAUAAACAAAUAAAGAGAAGACGUUCCUCCGCGGUUGGGGAAAAGAAUAAAAGGGCGAAGAUUGCUAUCCCCGAGUCAUAUCCGAUGGCGAUGAUGACUGGUCCUCCUUCUGGGUUGGUCAUAGACACUGUGAUGAUCGAUGAUGAUGAAGAAGCUGGUGAUGAGGGAGCUUCUUUACAGAAAAGGCUGCGAUCCUUAUCAUCUCAACAUGAUGCUCGACCUGUUGAGCUAAUUGCACCAACUGAAGGCGAUGUCUCAACACUUUAGGAAAAUCAGAUUUAGUGGAAUAUGCCAACUCCUAUUUUCGGGCCCCAAUUGUUGUAACCGGUGCUGCGGGGCUGAGUACCGGGUCCUUACCGCCUUUGGUUGGCGAGCAUUCAACAACCGGCACUGCAUUUGAUGUAGCUGCUUCUCAUUCUUCAACUCCAUUAGCUCCAUCUCCACCUUUGCCAACACCAGCAACUGCUACAUCACAUCCAUUUGCAUCCACUCUUCCACCAGCAGUUGUUAUAUCACCUCCAUCGGCCGCACCUGACCGUGAAAAAUAUGUUACUCUUCCACAGUCCUAAGUUCAUGGGAAUUUGGGGAAAAAUUAUGCCGCCCCUUCUGAAGAUCCACAAAGGAGGAGGAACAUUACUCUUUUGGUCUCUACCGGGUACAACUUGUUAUCCCGGCCGGUGGAUCUAGCUAAUUAUCUCAAGCCUUUGGCUUCAUAAAAGGACUGGGAAAAGAUUCAGGCAUUCUCGGGAGAGUGCUUGUUGAACAAUGCCAUGCACAAUGCCGCAACGGUACGUUCUUUUCUUCCUUCGUCACUUCUUCUACUUUAGUAUGAAUGUAUUCUAAGUUUUACUUCUUCUUGUUUUGUAGGCCAACUUUCUUGCUUUUGACGGCCUUCAAAGGUUGAUUCGUAAGAAGGAAGAACUUACUUCUGAACGGGAUCAGGUUUUGGCUGAACGGGACCAGACUGUUCUCUGCCUCUCAGAACUGGAAACCAAAGCUGCUGAGGCUACUGUCUUGGAGGCUCUUCUGCAGCAAAGCUAACAAGAAGUGGUAGCCCUUAGCCAAGAAAUUGGGCCGCUGAGGGUUAAUUUUGAUGAGGCCAAUGCCAUAUGGGCAGAAGUCCAGAACACCAUUCUUGUUGCAGUCGAUCGUAAGGCUGCCUCUGCUGAAAGAGUGAUUAACUUGGAGGCAACCUUGAACUCCAAAAGUGAAGAGCUUGCUGCCAUGGAGGUGAAACAUGCCCAGCUAGAAGAGAAGUAUAGGAAAACUAUUGAGUAUAAUAGGCUCUUAGUUCAACUGUCCGCGAGCUCGACGUCAACCUCCAAUCUGCUAGAUCCGUUCGGGAAAAUCUUUCCACCGAGGUUACUCAACUCAGAGAAGAACUUAAGUGCCGAGCGGCUUCCCUCAUUAUUGAAAAAACUUAUUCUAUGUAUAGCAUGAGGAGAAAAACCUUGGAAGAGGCCAAAGCUGGUAUCAUUGAUGUUGAUGCCAAAAUUGCUAAAGCCCGAGAGCUUGAGUUGGCUGCAAAAAAAGGACUCCCGGUACAGUCUGAUGCUCCAGAUUCUUUUGAUUCCUGUUUCGAUUUUUCGGAAACUGAAGAAGGAUCGGAAGGCGAUGAGGCCGAUGACCAAACUCGGAAAAGCGUUGAGCCAUCGGCGGGAUCACCUACUCUUUCCGGCAAUGCAGAUACUUCUCUUCCUCCUGGUCCCGGAGGCACUGCAGUUUAGCUUUUCCUUUCUUUUCUCAUUUUGUACUUGUAACUUUUUCGCCCGUUCUUGUGAAUAAAGACAUACUUUUUGUUCAAAUAUCGUUUGAGUCUUACUUUCGUUUGAAUAUCCAUGCAAGCUUUUAACUUUUGCAUUUGCUCAAGUAUUCUGCGCAUGUUGUUCAAUUCGCGCUUUACUAUGUGUAGUCUCGGAUGCCUUUUCUUCGAAGCAUUUUGGUUCCUAGUAUUAUCCCUUUUACGUGAGGGUUUCUAUGAAUAUUUGCGCAAGUUUUCUUUUUGCGUCCUUUUCAUAUGCAACUUCGGGUGUAUUUUCCCCGAUGGCAUUUUAGAUUCUGGCAUUGAUUCUUCCGGAACCAACCCUUUAACGUGAGGGUUUUUAUAAGAGAGGGCACUCUUAUGUUUACGGUGCUCUUGAAGAGGACGUCUCAUUUUCAUUACGGUACUAACAUUUGAAGUACUUGUUUAACUUUCAAAUGACAAAAUCAGCUCAUCGCUUAGACAAGAAACAAGAUAAAAGCAAAAGGAUUUCAUUUUAUUCUUUCUAUUUUCAGAAAUUACAUAAGCAUUUUGCUAUGUAGAAAAGAAAUUACCAUUACUUACGGCUAUCUUGUACAACUUGUUUCUACGGGGCUGGCUGCGUAGUCCCCGGUCCCGAUGAUGCAUUUUGUUUUCGAAUUUUCGUUCCCGGUUGACGUGGCAGUCAAUGUUGUCGUAUCAUCAUAUCAUUCUCCCCCUGUGUUUGAAUGCGAAGAAUGCGAAUUGGAACAUUGGAAGUCUUGUAUCUUAAAGGUCUCACCAAUGAAUUGCUAGGUAAUCCUUCACUCGACAACAUAUCUUUUUCCCCUUAGGAAUCCAUGCUAUCGAGCGAAAGAAUACCUAACAGUCCUCUGGCGGUUUGUACCGGUGAACGGUCGGGUAACCUCUGUUCGGUAGCAAACUUAACUUCCCGGUGGGAAUUUGCUAUCGAACCAAAGAUCACCUAAUCGUUCCCAGGUGAAAGUUUGUUCGCUUGCCUUGCAAUCAAAGGUCUUAUUGCUGCUGUCUUCGUAGUAUGUUUUCCGUCGCUGCCUCGUUUAAAACCUUACCAAAAAACCCAAUUGAGACAAAAACUGAACUUAGGGAAAAAAAGUGCAGCACAUACGUUCUGUUUAAGUGUUGUUAAUCAGCAAUAAUAUCUUUUGAGGUGUGCCACAUUCCAAUUGUUGGGCAACUAGUCCUCAUUCUGGUUCUCCAACUCGUAUGAACAUUUCCCAGUGAUAACUGAAAUCUGGUAAGGACAUUCCCACGUUGGACCUAGCUUUCCCGUGUUGAGCUCCCGGGUAUUUUGUGUUACUUUCCUUAGAACCAAGUCUCCUACUUUGAAAAAACGGAAAUUGGUUCUUCGAUUGUAAUAUCACUCCAUCCUCUGCUUUUGAGAUGCCAUUCUUACAUGCGCUAAGUCCCUGCGUUCUUCGAGCAAUUUCAAAUUGAUUAGCAUUGCUUCGUCCUUCUAUUCUUCAUUUGUCUGAGAAUAUCUCAAAGUGGUUUCGCCCACUUCUACUGGGAUUAAGGCUUCAGCAAUGUACACGAGGGAAAAAGGAGUUUCUCCUGUGCUUGAUUUGGCUGUUGUUCGGUAGGCCCAUAGAACUCCGGGCAACUCUUUGGGCCAUUUGCCUUUUACUGCUUUUAGCCUUUUCUUGAGGUUCUAAAUGAUCACUUUGUUUGUUGACUCCGCUUGACCAUUUGUGUUCGGAUGAUAAGGCGAGGAUGUGAUUUUCUUUAUUUUCAGGUCUUUGAAGAACUUUGUAACUUUUGCAGUGAUAAACUGUGGCCCAUUGUCGCAUGCUAUCUCUUUUGGUAUUUCGAACCUGCAAAUUAUAUUUUCCCAUAGGAAAUCGACCACUUCACGUUCUCCGAUCAUAUGAUAAGAACCUGUUUCUACCCAUUUAGAAAAAUAAUCAGUCAAAAUUAAAAGAAACCUUACCUUUCCGGGAGCUGGUGACAACGGUCAGACGAUAUCCAUCCCCUAUUUCAUGAACGACUACGGGGACAGAACCGAAUGUAAGGGUUCUGCCGUUUGAUGUACUAGUGAUGCAUAGCGUUGGCACUUAUCAUAUUUUCGUAUGAAGUCUUUGGCGUCUUGUUCCAUGCGAGGCCAAUAAUAUCCUGCCCGUACCAAUUUCAGCACCAAAGCCUCUGCGCCUGAGUGAUUGCUGCAUAUCCCUUCGUGGAUUUCUCUCAUGACAUAGUGAGCUUCUGAUACUCCUAAACACAGGGCCAACGGGCCUUGGAAAGAUUUUCUAUACAAUUGGCCUUUCCUGAAGCUAUAACGUGCAGCUUUGGUGCGUAACGCUCGUGACGCUUUGGGAUCAACGGGUAACUUUCUGUGCCCGAGGUAGUUGAUUAUUUCAUUUUUCCCGACUAGCCGAAUUCACUUCAUAGUAACCAUCCGUAUCAAGGACUGAACUCAUCAGUUGAACCAUCGUUAUGGACUCCGAUCCCUUUAAUUCCGUCGAUGAACCUAAGUUUGCUAAUGCAUUCGCUUCUACAUUAUCCUCUCUCGGGAUAUGAGUGGUUGACCACUCACGGAAUCGUGCCAAAAGAGCCUGGACCUUUAUCACAUAUUGCUACAUACGUUCUUCUUUGGUAUCAAAUAUCCCGUAAACCUGAUUUACCACUAGCUGUGAGUCGCAUUUGAUUUUGAUAACCUCGAAAUCAAGUCCCCGGGCCAAUUCAAGCCCUGUAAUCAAAGCUUCAUACUCUGCUUCAUUAAUAGUUAAAGGAAUUGUUCUGAUAGCUUGCCUUAAGGUUUCCCCCAAAGGCGUGAUUAAAACUAUUUCGAGCCUGAACCUUUUUACGUUUGAGGCCCCAUCCGUAAAUAAGGUCCAAACCCCUGAUGUCGAUUUCGACACCAUGACUGCCUCCUUGGUUGCCAAAGGUAGCAGUCCCGGACUAAAAUCAGCCACAAAGUUAGCCAAGACUUGUGACUUAAUUGCAGUCCUCGGUUUAUAUUCUAUGUCGAAUUCAUUCAUUUCGACGGCCCAUUUGGCUAAUCUGCCCGAGAGUUCGGGUUUAUGAAGUAUGUUCCACAAAGGAAAAGUAGUCACCACAAAUAUUGGGUGGCAUUGGAAAUAGGGCCUCUGCUUCCGAGCGUUGACUAUGAGAGCUAAGGCCAGUUUUUUUAAAUGCGGGUAGCGAGUUUCUGCUCCCAUUAAAAUUUUGCUAACAUAAUAAAUAGGAAAUUGCGUACCUUUGUCCUCUCUUACUAAAAUCGCACUUACCGCAACUUCUGAAACCGCGAGGUAGACCAGCAAUGUUUCGCCUCCUUUUGGUUUCGAGAGCAAUGGAGGGCUUGAUAAGUACUUCUUCAGGUCCCUCAAAGCCUGCUGGCACUCUAGCGUCCAUUCAAAAUUGUUCUUCUUUUUGAGCAAUGCAAAGAAGCGAUGACACUUUUUCGACGACCGGGAAAUGAACCCGCUCAAAGCUGUUAACCUUCCUAUGAGUCGUUGGACUUCUUUCACGUUUGAUAAUUGAUCCGGAUAUCGUCUAUGUCCUUGAUUUUAUUGGGGUUUACCUCAAUUCCCCUUUAUGAGACCAGAAAUCCAGGAACUUACCGGAGCUGACACCGCACGCGCACUUUUCGAGGUUAAGUUUCAUGUUAUGCUUCGUCAGGAUAUUGAAUGUUUCUUGAAAAUGCUUAAGGUGGUCACCUGCAUUCAAAGACUUAACGAGCAUAUCGUCUGUAUAAACUUCCAUGGUUUUUCCUAUUUGCUUUUCAAACAUCUUAUUUACGAGCCGUUGAUAAGUGGCUCCGGCAUUUUUCAACCCGAAAGGCAUUACAUUGUAACAAUAUGUACCGAAAUUUGUUAUAAAUACAGUCUUUUCCUGAUCUUCUAGGUUCAUCUUAAUUUGGUUGUACCCGGAAUAAGCAUCAAGGAAACUCAUCAGUUCGUGCCCGGCCGUGGCAUCAAUUAUUUGAUCGAUAUUUGGCAAUGGAAACAAAUCUUUCGGGAACGCCUUAUUAAUAUCUUUAUAAUCUACACACAUACGAAAUUUAUUGUUCUUCUUAGGACCUACUACUACAUUGUCUAGCCAGUCUGGAUAUCUUACCUCUCUGACCGAACCGAUUUUAAGCAAGCGAGUUACCUCUUCUUUGAUGAAUUUAUUCCUGGCCUCGGCAAUAGGGCACUUUUUUUGUUGUACCGGUGGUAUGUUGGGAUCCAGACUUAGCUUGUGCAUGAUUAUUUCCGUCGGGAUACCUGUCAUAUCCUCGUGUGACCAUGCAAAAUAAUCAGCGUUAAUUUUAAGGAAUUCAAUAAAACCAUACCUGAGCUCGGGGUGCAGCCCUGUUCCCAAGUGAAAUUUUCUUUCUAAAAAUUCUUCGAAUACUGACACUUGCUCUAGUUCCUCUGCCAUGGAUUUCGUUGCAUUCGUUUCUUUCGGAACAUGGAAAUAUGUCGGCACCUAAUAUUGUUCUAACGAUUCUGCCUCUGGAAUAACCUUUUCUAACUCGGGAGCAGGCGCCGGUUCUUGUAAUUGCUAUGCCGUGCACUCAUUCCCUUUGCUACUGGAAACUGAGAUCGCAUUCAUCUCCCUUGACGCCGGUUGGUCACCUCUUAUUUGCUUGAUUCCUUCGGGCGUUGGAAACUUCUGCAGUUGGUGAUACGUCGAAGGUACAAUUUUCAUCUCGUGUAACUAUGGCCUUCCUAAGAUAAUGUUAGAUCCCAUAUCACCAUCCACUACUUUGAAGAGAUUUGAUUUCAUUACUCAUUCAGCAUUUGUGAGCAGCAAGAUCUCCCCCCGGGUCGUCACGCUCACAAGGUUGAAUCCAGCGAGGAGUUUUGUCGCCGGAAUAAUGCUUCCAGUAAGUUUAGCUUGUUCCAAUACUCUCCAUUAUAUGAUAUUAGCCAAACUUCCUAGAUCCACUAGAACACGCUUAAUUUUAAAAUCUAACACAUUUAAAGAGAUUACCAGUGCGUCGUUGUGUGGUAACAACAAUCCGUCUGCGUCUUCCUCUGUGAAAGUGAUAUCAUCCUCCCGGAGUCUUUUGCUGUGAGUUAUCGAUAGUUUAGUCUUCUUUGCCGCCGAAAAGGUGAACCCGUUAAUCUCGUUCCCCCCAAAGAUCAUGUUAAUCAUUUGGCGUGGGGUUUCCUCUCCUAGUUUCGAGGAUUCCGCGUUGUCUCUGUUGCGAUCGUAAUUAUUCUUAGCUCGAUCACUCAAGAAUUCUCGGAGAUAACCAUUUUGUCAUACCAGUUCCCAAACAUAACAAUUUUCUAAUUGAACACUUACACUCAUUCAAACAGUGUAUAAUAAAUGCUUAUGACACGAGGCUGAUCCUAUGUGUCAUAUUUGGCUUUAGUGCGUGAUUCACACGCCUGUAAGGGGCGUGGGUGAAGUUGAAAAAGCCCUAACGGUAAUAAUGUGGCCUAUUUAAAAGUCAUCUUCUUCUUUCUACCUUAUUCUCCAUUGUUGAACAUUAUAGAAGCUGAUUUCUAUCAAAUCUGAUGCCUCUUCUUCUUUCUCGUGUUAGCUUUAACAGUGAAAGUCGAUUUAUUUCUUCUUCUCCGGUAAGAAAUAAGCUAUUGCCGCGUCUUCUCCUUCAACAAUGAAUAAGGAGCCUUUGUGUUAUUGUGAACUUGCUGCAGAUCUUAAAAUAUCACGAACACCCACCAAUCUUUGAAGAAGGUUCCUAGGCUGCCGAAGAUAUGAGAUUGGUGAAGGUUGUGGCUUUUUUCGAUGGGUUAAUCCAGUGAUUAAGGAAGAACACUACAAGACUCUUCUUGCGGGUCUUAUUAAGAAGAGUGAUCGAUGCCAUUGUCAGAGAAGACAAGGAAGGUGGAAGUUCAGAGUUGCUGCUAUUAUAAUUGCGGUUGUAGUUGUUAUAAUGUUAGCUCUUAUGUUAUGUGUUUAGGAUUGACAACGUACUUUCUUAUUUCCUGGGUUUAGGCUAUAUAUUUUUUGUUGAUGUAAAAUUUUGUUCAUGGAAUAUAUUGACAAAGGUUCCAUUACAGCAAAAAGUACAGGAACUACUAAUAUCAUAGCCUGAUAUAGGCAGUUAAUAAAACAACCAAAAUAAGGAAGUUGCUUUACAAAAUAUUGUCUACGAUAGGCAGUCAACAAAAACGUACAUAAUGAAGUAGCUUUACAAAAUAUUGUCUACCAUAGGCAGUUAACAAAAACAUCCAUCAUUAAGUCUUCAAAUUAUUAGUUGAUCACUUCAAUUAAUGUCUGUUGUGGCUUGGUUGCUUGGUGUUGAUUGUGUCUUUGGUGUGGCUUGAGUGGUUUUAGGAGAGUUUGCCCUUCUGUAACUCUGUUCUUGCACCUGCCUUUAUGUAACUGCUGCUCGAACCUUCCACUUUAGUCCAGGGGGUUUGAACCUAAGUUCAAUGUUGGUAGGGGCAGAACUUAUGAGUGUAGAAGGAUUGUGUACUACUCUGUCAGUAGUUCCAGACUGCACAAAGAUAAAAGGCUGUGAGUGAGGGAUUAUCUAGUAAACCAUAUCUGUUGAUUGUGUAAUUAAGCGAAAAUAUUUACCCUUUUUAUCACAGUGCCACUUGAAUCAAAUAGCACACCAUAUCCUGCUACCUUUGGUCUCUUAGAUUCUGCAUUUGCACCACCUCUUCUAGGCUCAUUGGUCUUCCAUUUUGGACCUCCAACAACAUUAGUUGAUUGUUGUGUGCUUGGACCAGUGAUUGGUUGAGUGAAGGUGCCACUUUCCAUAGUUGAAGUUGUUGUUGCUGUUGAUGCACUUCCCCUAGUUCCAGCCCUUCCACCUGCUGUUGUUGAUGAAGCAUUUUCAGCAGUUUCACCUCCAACUGAACUAGUUAUAGACCUUCCCCCUUGUUUUCUUUGCGUACACAUAACAAAAAAAACGUUAGUAAUUGAAUUCAUCUGAUAAUGAGCACAAAGAACAUUAAUGCUUACUGCUUAUGGACAUCCUUUCUUGUUAUGUCCAAGAUUCUUGCACAAAGAACAUCUCAUUUGUCUCCCUAUCCUUGUACCCUUCCCAAACUUCUUUUUUGGUUCAUCAGCAGAUUUUCUCCUUUUUUUCUUUGGCCAUCCUGGCAUUGCAGUUAUAACAGGUGGCUCAAUAGCUGGCACUGUGCUUUUUGGCCACAAAUUCAUAUUAGUUAAAGGUUGAAUGAAUCUACUAUAUGCUUUAAGGUAGGUGUCCUUCCUAUACCAAUAGACAACACAUGGCUCAACCUCAUAGUUCUUAUAAUGCAUUGCUGUAAUUGCAUGUGCACAUGGAAUUCCUUUGAGUUGCCAUGAUCUACAAGUAUAGGAACACAUCCUAAAGUCAACAACAUGUUUAUAUGGCCCAUCCUGGAUCUCAUACCUUGUUUCACCAUUAAAUUUGACUUCAUAUUUUGUUGCCCUUUGAGCAUUCUCUCCAAGUAUUUUCAUAGCCAUGGGUGAUAUAUCACCUACCUAUUUUCCAGAAACCUCUCUCAUGCUAUUCAUCCUCUCCAUACACUUGAUUCUAAUUUCCUCUAACAUACUAAUGAUAGAUUUGUGCCUAGCUGCCAAUAUCCAACUAUUGAAUGUCUCACACAUGUUGUUCUCCACUACAUCACACUUACUAUUUUCUUUGAAGUAUGCCAUACACCAUGUCUCCUUGUUGUAUUUCAGUAAGUCUUGAGCAAUAUCUCCCCCCAACUGGUCCAUUUCAUCCAACUUCUUGCUAAAGUAAACUUCAAAUGUAGCUCUUGCACACUACCAAUAUUUUUUCCUUCUUUCCUCACCAGGCCAAGUUUGCUUCCAAUUAGCCCAGAUAUGUCUAGCACACCACCUCAUCUCAGCAUUUGGCAAUAACUGAUUUAUUGCUAUAUGAAGACCCUACAAUCAACAACAUUAUAUUGUUACAACUUACACAUAAAUGAAAACAAAUUACACUUUAGACAAAGUGUUAGAAAUUAUGCCUUCUGCAUAUCAGACAUGACUGUCACCCCUUCUCCUUUAGUUUCUGUCAAGUUCAGAUCAUGCUUGCAUAAUGUUCUGGAAUCGUAGCAUAUCUGUAGGAUUUGGAUAAGUGCAAGCUCAUUCCUUUUUCAUUUUUUAUCGCAUUCUUCCUUUACCAAUCCAUAAUUACUAGAACCACUUAAUUCUGACUUAAUGCCACAUCACUCCAUAUUCCCCCCUUUAUGGGAGUACUAAGAUUUAGCGCUACGACGAUCUACUUAUAGUUGUUUUAUAUAUUCAUAUUUGGCGUCUUCUCACAUCAUCGAUGACCCUUACUUGCCUUGCGAUAAUCCUUCUGUACCAUGGAUAACAAAUUUCCUUACUCGCGAGGGUGACACUUAGUAUAACUAGCACAUACAAUCCAUUAAGCUUAACUUUGCUCAUAUUGCUUGAUUUAGGGAAGCGUCCUCCUGAAUGACCUUUCUUUGAAUUUCUCAUGAAUAUUCUUUUGUUGUCCAUUCUAUUAUCGCUGGAAUGCAAUAUGAAAUUCUCAUGAUACCGACUAUUAUCAAAUCACUCAGUCCCUAAUUCAUGUUUAGUUUAUCUUGUUCACCAGUCCAUACUGAUUUGUAUUACUCUGGGAUAUAACUUUUCCUUUUGGUAAUCACGUUAGAGUCACAAACUUAUUUCUUGAAAUGAGGAUAUGACUUUAUGGCCUAUACUCUUUUGUUGUCUCAAGGCCUGUCACCUCUCGUCUUUUCCUUCACUUGACUAUAGACUCUGUGAUACUGUCAUUAUUUUUUCUACCGUUGUCAUCCAUGUAUCACAUCUUACUCAUAAUGCUUCAUUAAUUCUCUUCUUAUUUCCCUGCUAACAUUUCUGUCUAUCACUUUAUUCUGAAAAUUUCAACAAGCCAUUCUUUUGCUUUUAGCUCCCCUUGCUCCAUCCACUGGCUCUUCGGGUUGCCUAACAUUCUCUCUCUACUAGGGACGGGAGCCAUACUAAGGUAAUAUUUAUCCCUUCAAGGCUUCCAGUGCCUAUCUUUAUAGUACUCAUAUUUAGCUGUACUAUUUUAGAGUGCACCAUCUGUGUGUCUCACAAGGAGAUCUAUUAGAAUAUUUGCAAUAUCCUUCGGAAAUGUGAGCUAACGCUAACAAUUCAUCCACCAUUUUGGGUUACCCUAACCCCAGCUAGAUCCUGAUAUCCUGCCUUCUCUUAUACUACUUGUGUUAGCCUCAUAGGGCAUAAAUGAGAUGGGUGUGGCCAAUUGUACAUACCUCUGUUAUUGUUGAAGGUAACUCAAAAGGCUUAUAUUUCUCUGCCUGAAUUGUAAAUACUAAUAAUCUUCAUUAGCUGGGUACCUCAUACCCUUUUUCAUCUUGAUUCUUUUACUUGUUGAAAUUUGUAUCUAUGUUCUGAAUCUCUCAUUGCCUUUCACCAUAGGGGUGGAUAGAUAUUAUUGCCUUAAGGUUCCUUAUCAAGAAGCUUGCACGUCUUAGUACACACAUGUUCUGCUGAAGACCUCACAUUUAUCCAUCAUAAGAAUGAUGACAUCGAGUUCCUCUGACUCAAUUCUUCCACAGCUACAUUCAAUUUCUUAUCGACUAUUUUUCUGGAUGUAGGCAUCAUUGUAUUAUGACUAAGAUAGAGCUUAGGAAAUUGAGUUCUUACAAUUGAGCUCUACCACACGAUCUAGAGUAAGAAGAAAGAGUGACACUCCUAAAUGCCCUGUAGCCUCCUUCUUAUAAGUGUGGUACAUAACACACCCAUAAACAAGACUCUACUAGACACGACUUAUAGACUCCCUAGGACAGAACUGCUCUGAUACCACUUUUGUCAUGACGCAAACCGAUAGACCGCGACGGGCACCCGGUGCCUUACUUAACCGAGUACCAACAUAACGUAUCUUUCUUAUUACAUCAUCAUAGGUAAGUGGGCUAGAAGCGGUGUUAUAAGAUAAACAGAGUAAACAUGAGGGAAUCCCCGAUAUAGAACGACCCAACUUGAUAUAGAAACUCAUACAUGUGACAUACAAGCCUAUAAGGCCAAUGUGAUCCAUUAUAUACUUAAAACAUAUGCCGACAAAGCCAUACAAGUAUCCGUAUACAUGACAUCUGUCUACAAGCCUCUAAGAGUAAAUACUUAUUAUAAAGGUUGGGACAAAGCCCCGCCAUACCAAAUAAUACACGUCCAAAUCAUACUAACCAAACAAGCAACUCCGGAGCAAAUGGAGCGCACCAACAUCUUUCGCUGAGCUGAUAGCCUACUUGGAGGACUCUCAACCUGUCUAUCGGGAUCUGCGGACAUGAAAUGCAGUGUUCCCAAGAAAAAGGGAUGUCAGUACAAAUAAUAUACCGAGUAUGUAAGGAAUGAAAAUCAGUAAAUCAUAGACAUGAGAGAAACAUGGAGUAAAAGACUCGACAUGUAAGUCUGAAUAGCUCUGUCAAUCAUUUAAUAUUAUAAUGUCAUGCACAUGCGUAUAAAUGGCAUACCAUGCAUAAGUAUAUAUGUUCAUAACAUCAUCAAGCCUUUGAGGGUAUCCCAUCAUAUCAUCUCGGCCACUGUGGGCAAAAUCAUCAACGUAUACCAGCAGAUCAGGUGGUGGUGCGUAUAUAAUGCCAUAACCUUUUUCCAUAUCCCAUAUAUAUAUAUAUAUACGCGUAUAUAAUACCAUCUGGUCAUGGGUCAAUGUACAAAUAUAAAUGAAUGAAAUGCAUAAAAAUAAGUUAAUAAGAUCAAUAUACCUUUCGGAUAAACUUUAUCAAGUACAUAUUUUUCUGAGACCCUGAAUAGAAGAUGUAAUAAUAAGAUACAUGGGAAUUCAAGAAUAUAAGUACCUCUAAUACUUCUAUGAAUAGAGUUAUUUAUGAAAGUUGUGCAUUUGCUCGUUUCGUUUGUGUCGUAUGGAUCAUGCCAAAAAUAAGGAAGGGAUAGCCUUAAUAUAUCUGAACCGAUUUUCUUAAAAUUUGCAAUUCACGCUUUACAGAACAACCAACAACCGAUUCUCUUAGAAUUUGGUAUGGAAUUGUUUUGAUUACUUACUCACGACCAGCCCACUCUACUCACACAGGAGAUUCAAUUUGAUUUGUAAGACACUCAUGAAUUUACAGUGCAAAAACGUGAAGUAACUUGAUGGCAUGUAGUAUCUUGCUAAUUGUAGAAAGCCUUUAGUGGGUGUGGCCCACUUGGUGGAUGACUAAGCCACCCUAAUCCCUCAAAAUAUGACAUCUAUGCAAGACUUAAUGAGUCAUUUAAAUGGGAUGGAGUGCUGCCACGUAAUUCCUUAGUUGGGGGGUUUAAUCUUUAUCCAAUAAUUCCUUAAUUAAUUAGGUAAUAUCCCAUUACCAAUAAUUAACCAAUUACCCACACAUUUAAGAAUUAUCUCAAAUUACUUAAAAUACUACUCACUUUUAACACACUUUAUGUACCCUACUAUCGUGGUUAUGGGGUACCUUGUAUGGCAUUAGUUCAUAAAUACCGGGUAUUAUAGCUCGGACUGUAUUCUAUCUCAUAUUGACAAACUUCGAUGAAACUCAUUUUCUUUGAUUCGUUUACCCUUUACCCUUCACGGCACUUACUUAUCGCUUGUUAUAAAUAGCAUAAAUGCUUAUAACCUCAAGAUAAUCUCAUCCCCGAAUCUACGUCGAUUAACUGAAUAUGAAACUUUAACGUACUAAAACACGAGAUAUAACACCAAGCCUCCAAAUAACAUACAUAAGUGUGACAUAUAUAUCAUGUACAAGUUCCAAAACUGUACAACACCAUGGUGCAUAUGCAAAUGUGAUCUCCAUAAGUGCUCCCAAAAAGACUACUUCAUAAGGCCGUCUUCAAAUUUCAUCCCGUACAUUACCUAUGAUAGAAAACAACUAUCGCUAAGCAUAAAGCUUAGUGGCAUAUAAACUUUGGGCUUGGAGCCAUUAACUUCUCAAAUUCCUAUUUUCAGUCAUAGGUAGCUCAAAUGAAAUAUAAUUUAAAACAAGUGAACAAAUAUAUCAAAAGUAUCAAAUAUCAACCCUUGAAGUAUUUUCAAAUAUCAAUAACAAUGUUCAAGAUUCAAGAGUUGAGAAAGCGCAUACUAUCAAUCCAAAAAAGCUUGUCAAAUAUCCAUUUUUCACCCAAUGUGUACGUCAUGCCAUCACACUAAGCAAAAUCAGAUAUCAAUAUGGACCGAAGCCCCAAAUCAAGUAGGGUCAAAACCCAAUAGUCAACAGAAUCAAGAACCAUAUUAAAAAUGGCUUCCUAGUUCAUACUUAACACGGACAAUUUCCAUAAUUUAAGACAAAAGAUCCAAAUCAAGAGGCAUGCCAAGAUGAGUGACAAAGUCACUACCACAAGAAGGACAAAGUCCCAACAAGAAUGCAAAAUGAUCAAACAAUCCGUACGAGUGGGCGAUUUAGCAAAUAUCUUACAAUACUUGAUAUAACACGAAUACAAUGCUAUUAAUUGAAGACAAGAAAAAAACAAAAUAUCAGGCUAUUUCAAAAUAUUCCAGCAAGUAAAAAUAGUACAAAGUUUAUACACAAACCUUGGUGUUUUACCACAAAAUAGUUUAACCACAACUUGAGGACGUUCGAAUCGUCUACGCCCUAGACAAACCAAAUCCGUCCACAUCCUUAAACACUUCCCAUUAGCUUUUAUAAGGAUAUAUAUACCUUAAAUACAUAAUAAAAUAUCUAUAUAAGUUCAAUGAUUUAACAUGUCUAACUAAACAUGAUAUUGGUGAAAAUUACCCAAAGUGUUUGAAACAGAAAUUCUGUACAGUAUCACAGUCUCGUGUUGUGACUCAGAUUUGAAGAUAAAAAAGGACAAACUAGACAGUGUGGUCUUAUUUACAGUUGUAGAUAUGUGUAUUAGCGUUUCAGAACAUCUUGAAUCACCCCCAUAUCAAUUUUGUACAAAAAGGUUAUGCUAAACUUACUAACAGUAGUACAUGGAGGGUUUGUAAAACAGAAAAUCUGGGCAGCACCUGCUUUGUAUUUCAUCACCUAUUUUUUGGUAAAUAAAAGAUAAACCAAGUUUUGGUUCCUUCGUAAGAGUUAUAGAUCUAUGAAAUAGAUUUCCAGAAAGUCUUAGAUAACUUAAAACGGAGCUCUAUACAAAAUGAUAUGAAAAAAACACUAAUAGCUGUCUAGUGUAAAAACGGGUUUAGUAACUUACCACAAAAGAGAGGAGCAACUUUAGCUUCACCAAGAACGAAUUUUGCUGGUUGGUUUAGUGGAAAUUUAUGGUGGUUUUCAUGAAGUUUUCAGGUGAUAAUAANNNNNNNNNNNNNNNNNNNNNNNAAGGAGAGAGGGUAGGGGUUUUCUUUUUUUCUUGAAAGAAUGAAAAUGGGGAGUUUAUGGAAGACUAAGUCAAUCAAAAUUAUCUUUAAGAAUUUUGGAUAAAUAUAAAAUAAAAAUGGCUGCCUAACUACUAAGUAUCCUUAGAUAAAUACAAAAGGGUGGCAGCCCAAAAACUUGAUUAUAAUAUAUUUAACAAUAAUUUAUCAAAAUAAUAUUAAGUAUUACACAUAGCAACACCAUGAAAUUUCUUUGUCAAUAUUAACACAACCUAGAGUAAGAAAUUUUCAUGUAUUGUCAAUUUCAUGUUUAGGAAGUGCGAAGUAAAAUUAUCUCCUCAUUAUAAAGAUGCUCAAUCGAAAAUGCAAAUAUUAGUAAUAAUUUGGGGUGUUACAACUCUCUCCCCCUUAAAUAAAUUUCGUCCCGAAAUUUACCUGGUACUAGUCCCUAAACAAAUGUGGAUAUUGAACUCGCAUAUCCUCUUCUCGCUCCCAGGUAGAUUCUUCGCCAGAAUAAUUUUUCCAAAGAACUUUCACUAAGGGGAUGCUCUUAUUUCUAAGCUCCUUUAACUCACGCGCUAAGAUUUGGAUUGGUUCUUCUCCAUAUGUCAAAUCAGGAUUGACCUAAGUAGAUUUAAUAGGAAGAACAUGAGAUGGAUCUGAGCGGUAUCUUCUAAGCAUAUAAACAUGGAAGACAUUGUGGAUCUUGUCUAACUCUGGUGGAAGAGCUAAUUUAUAAGCAACUGGGCCAACUCUAUCAAGCACUUCAUAAGGUCCAAUAAAUCGUGGACUAAGUUUACCUUUUUCGCCAAAUCUCAUAAUGUUCUUCCAUGGAGAAACCAUAAAAAUAGCUUAUCACCCGCUUUAUACUUAAUUUCAUGCCUCUUAAGAUCAGCAUAAGACUCUUGUCUGUCUGAGGCAAUUUUUAAGCGAUCCUUGAUGAUUUUUACCUUAUCUUCAGUUUGUUGAACAAUCUUAGGACUCACCAAUUUUCUUUCACCAACCUCGUUCCAACAAAGAGGCGUUCUGCAUUUUCUCCCAUACAAAUCUUCAUAAGGAGGCAUACCUAUAAUUGAUUGGUAGCUAUUAUUUUAAGCAAAUUCUAUCAGGGCUAAGUGUUUAUCCCAACUACCCUCAAACUCAAUAAUGCAUGCUCGAAGCAUAUCCUCCAAGAUUUGUAUUACCCUCUCAGACUGGCCGUCUGUUUGUGGAUGGAAAGCGGUAUUAAAAUUUAACCUACAACCCAAAGCUUCUUGCAAGCUAGACCAAAAUCUGGAUGUAAACUUGGAUCUCUAUCAGACACAAUAGAAACAGGGAUUCCAUGCAGCCUCGCAAUCUCAUUAAUGUAUAAUUCUGCCAAACGUUCUAGUGAGUAGUCCAUUCUGAUUGCCAAGAAAUGAGCACUCUUAGUUAGUCUAUCUACAAUGACCCAAAUUGCAUCACAAUUCCUUUGAGUGUGUGGAAGUCUAGAAACAAAGUCCAUCGUUAUCCUUUCCCAUUUCCACUCAGGUAUUGACAAAGGUUGCAGUAGACCAGCUGGGACUUGAUGUUCGGCUUUUAUUUGUUGACAUACCAAGCAUUUAGAAAUGAACUCUGCAAUGUCUUUCUUCAUACCACUCCACCAGUAGUGCUCCUUGAUGGUCCGGUACAUUUUAGUACCUCCAGGAUACAUUGCAUAAGGCGAACUAUGUGCUUCAAUCAAGAUCUGCUUCCUCAAUUCAUCAUCAUUAGGAACACACAAUCUAUUUUUAUAAAAUAAGGUAUCAUCUUUCUUCAAUGGAAAAUCUGAUUCUCUUUCAUUUUGGACUUCUUCAACCCGUUUCACAAGCUUCUCAUCUAACUUCUGUGCUUCUUAGACCUGCUCAAGUAAGACUGGCUUGACUUGCAAAUUAGCAAUGAUAGAACCAUUAGAAUUAAAUAAAUGACAAACAUUCAUGGCUCUUAAUUCAAGAAGCAAGGGCAAAAGGACUUAGAGUUAAACUUGCAAAGGAAUUACGACUCAACGCAUCUGCAACCACAUUUGCUUUACCAGGAUGAUAAUCAAUCGUGCAAUCAUAAUCUUUGAUGAGUUCAAUCCAUUUACAUUGUCUCAAGUUUAACUCUUUUUGUGUACCCAAGUACCUCAAACUCUUAUGAUCAGUAAAUAUGUUACAUUUCUCCCCGUACAAGUAAUGCCUCCAAAUUUUUAAGGCAAAAGCAUUGGCAGCAAGUUCAAGAUCGUGAGUGGGAUAAUUCAACUCAUGCGAUUUCAACUUUCGAGACGCAUAAGAAAUUACUUUCCCUUCUUGUAUCAAAACAUAACCCAAGCCACAGUGAGAUGCAUCACUAAAUACCACAUAAUCUUUCCCUUCAACUGGUAAAGAAAGUAUUGGAGCUUGUAUCAACAAGGAUUUGAGCUUUUCAAAGCUCUCUUGACACUUGUCUUCCCUCAUAAAUUUGGCGUCUUUCCCCAAAAGUUUGGUCAAAGAAGAAUCUAUAAUAGAGAAGCCCUUCACGAACCUCUUAUAGUAUCCUGCUAAACCCAAGAAACUUCUGAUCUCAGUUGGAUUUUUAGGAGGUUUUCAAUCAACAAUAGCUUGAAUCUUACUAGGAUCAACCUGCACACCUUCAAUUGAUACAAUAUGCCCCAAAAAUGCCACUUCACUCAGCCAAAAUUCACAUUUGGAAAGCUUCGCGUAGAGUUGCCUCUCUUUCAGAAUUUGUAUGACAAUCUGGAGAUGAUUAUCAUGAUCUUCUCUAUUUUUGGAAUAGACUAAAAUGUCAUCAAUAAACACAACCACAAAUUGAUCAAGAUAUGGCUUGAAUACACGGUUCAUUAGAUCCAUAAAUGCAGUAGGAACAUUUGUCAAAACAAAUGGCAUUACCAAAAUUUCAUAAUGGCCAUACCUGGUCCUAAAAGCAGUUUUAGGAACAUCUUGCUCCCUCACGCACAACUGAUAAUAUCUAGACCUCAAGUCAAUUUUUGAGAACAAGCUGGCACCCUUCAGUUGGUCAAACAAGUCAUCGAUUCUAGGCAGUGGGUAUUUGUUCUUGAUUGUUACCUUGUUCAGCUGUCGGUAAUCAAUGCAAAGCCUAAGAGUGCCAUCUUUCUUUUUCACAAAUAAAACAGGAGCUCCCCAAGGCGAAAUACUAAGGACGGAUAAAACCUUUCUCAAGAAGUUCUUGCAAUUGAGCCUUCAACUUUUUUAAUUCAGCUGGAGCCAUUCUAUAAGGAGCGAUAGAAAUAGGAGUAGUUCCAGGGACAAGCUCUAUAGGAAAUUCAAUCUCCCUUUUCUGGAGGCAACCCAGGAAGAUCAUUAGGAAAUACAACAGGAAAGUCGCGCACGAUUGGUAUGUCCUCAAGACUUGGACUCCCCAAUCAUGUAUCGACUAUAUGAGCAAGAUAGGUAUCACAACCUUGACAAAUCAUCUUCCUUGCCAAGACCGCAGAAAUAAUAUUAGUUGUCAAUGAUCUUUCUCCUUGAACUACUAUGUGUGAGUAUGCCGGAGUUCUAAAAGUCACUUGCUUCAACCUACAAUCAACCAAUGCAUGGUGCCUAUGGAGCCAAUCCAUACCAACAAUAACAUCAUAGUCUUGGAAGGGCAUUUCAAGCUAGUCUGCAGGGAAGACCAGAUUUUGAAUCAUGAAUGGACAAUCUCGAUAAAUCCUGUUAACAACAGCCUGAUGACCUAAAGGACUCGUGACCAGCACAUCAAAGUCAAGUCUCACAGAUUUAACAGUAUCAGGAAAUGUAAGUGAUGAGCAAAUAUAAGAGUGCGAAGAUCCAUGAUCAAAUAAUGUAACAACAGGUAUGCCAAAUAAGUGAAAUUUACCAACAACCAUGCCCGGUCCAUCUUGGUCAUUCUUUUGUCUCAUAGCAUAGACUCAUGCAGUAGAUCUCGACCCACUAGCCUGAUUAGCUCCACCUGAACCCGCCGCUUGCAUAUUUCUAGGUCUUACACCACUAUUAGCUUGAGAAAUGAGUAAUGAUAGGCUUUUGAACUGAGCCCUCUAUAUGUGUAUAAGAAAGAGGAUUAGGAUUAGGAAAAUCCUUCACUUUAUGAUCCAUACUUCCACAAUUAAAACAAGUACCAGAAACUCUUCUGCAGGCACCAUAGUGAUUCUUUCUGCAUUAUGCAGAAGUAGGUAUAUAAGUUUUGCCUUGCAUAACUUGGAGUACUAGCAGUAGAGAAAUUUGGCUUAUUCUGCUUAUGAUAUGAUGACUUCUGUGUACUUUCAGUCUUGGAAUAGUCAAACUUUCCCUUCUUGGAUGGACCGCCAUAAUCUGAAUUACCCUUCCUAAACAUGUUUUUUCUCCUACUAGCUUCUUCCUUGUCAAUUCUUUCCCAAGUAAGAGCAGCUGAAAUUAGCUUGGAAAAAUCCUCAAGUUGCAAGAUUGUCACAGAUUUUCGAAUGUAACCAUUCAAACCUUCUUCAAAUCUUCUGCACUUGUCUCUUUCACCAUCAAUAAUACCACCAGCAUAGUGAGAAAGCCUGAGAAAUUUUUAUUGAUACUCUGCAAUAGACAUACUCCCUUAUCUUAAAUUCAGAAACUCUUUUUUCUUUGCAUCACAAUAGACAGGGGGACAUAUUUCACACGAAAUGCUUUCACAAAGUCAUCCCAAGUCAGCACCGGAGGUUUUGCUUUUGCAUUUGGCACACUUACCCACCAAUCAUAAGCAUUUAUUUAUAAAAGAGAGAUAACAUACUUAAAUUUGGCAUCAUUAGUACACUCUAGUUGUUCAAAGACCCUCUCCAUCUCCAUGCGCUCGAGCCAUUGUUCAGCUACCGUGGGAUCAGUAUUACCUUCAAAUUCAACUCCACCCAUUUUCCUCAUCUUCUCAAAAUUUAUUUCACUGGGUUCUAACAUUGUCCCAGCCAAGUGACGAAAGAACUCAGCCAUCUGCUGAAAUGAAGGAGUCAUAAUAGAAGUACUAUGACCCAUUGCUCUUGGAUUAUUGUCCACUUCAUUUUCACUAACACAUUGAUGAUUUAGGUUAGGCAAGGGUACCUCAUCUCCUUCUUGGAAGUGAGGUGGAGCAUUAUAAUGGGCCUGACUUUUAUCAACGGAUUCAAUAGCUCUAUUCGAAGAAGAGACCAUAUUAAAUUCCUAUAAAAGAUAAGAUCACACUGCAUUAGGGACAUGUACAUGAUGCAUAUGCGCAAGUAAUACAUCAAAUUACAUUAAACAAGUAUGCAAAAAUUUAUAAUCUCCAAGUCAUUUUCAAGAAAGAAAAUUACAAAAAUAUUAGGUACGAUCACAACAAAAAUUCUAGAAUCAGAAACGUAGACUCUGAUAUCAAAACUUGUAGCAACCCCUUUGGGAGGGUGCUACUUACGAAACAAAUCUAAUUUACUACUUAUAACAUUAAGAAGACAUUAAUUAAAAAAAUAUUCAGAAUAAUUUAGUAGCGGAAAUAGGCCCAUGCGAUGAGGUCCAAAGUGCAAUAUUUCUUUUUAUUUUAUUUUUGAAAAUUCUUUUCAUAAUUUUAUUUUAUUUUUUAAAAAAUAAAAUACAAUGUCAAAAUAUCAACAUAAGGUGAUAUAACCCUUCUUGAAUAAUCAACAUCACUGCAUGUUUGUAUUGUACAUAAAUUUUAAACUAUCGGGUAUAAAAAGGAAAACUAAUUUUCUCCUUUGUACAUAUAUAUAAGACAAAGUGUAAAUUCUACAUAUUACAAGACAUGAGUUAUUAACAUACCUUAAAAUAGCAAAAAAAGUUACCAUAUUCAAGUUACAAGAUUUUGGUCUUAAUAUCCAAGCCUCCAAAUAACAUACAUAAGUGUGACAUAUAUAUCAUGUACAAGUUCCAAAAUUAUACAAAACCAUGGUGCAUAUGAAAAUGUGAUCUCCAUAAGUGCUCCCAAAAAGACUACUUCAUAAGGCCGUCUUCAAAUUUCAUCCCAUAUAUCACUAAGCAUAAAGCUUAGUGGCGUAUAAAUUUUGGGCUUGGAGCCAUUAACUUCUCCAAUUCUCAUUUUCAGUCAUAGUUAGCUCACAUGAAAUAUAAUUUAAAACAAGUGAACAAAUAUAUCAAAAGUAUCAAAUAUCAACCCUUGAAGUGUUUCCAAAUAUCAAUAACAAUGUUCAAGAUUCAAGAGUUGAGAAAGCGUAUACUAUCAAUCCAAGAAAGCUUGUCAAAUAUCCAUUUUUCACCCAAUGUGUGCGUCAUGCCAUCACAUUAAGCAAAAUCAGAUAUCAGUAUAGACCGAAGCCCCAAAUCAAGUAGGGUUAAAACUCAAUAAUCAAGAGAAUCAAGAACCAUAUUAAAAAUGGCUUCCUAAUUCAUACUUAACACGGACAAGUUCCAUAAUUUAAGACGAACUACAAAUCCAAAGUAAGAUGGCAAAAGAUCCAAAUCAAGAGGCAUGCCAAGAUGAGUGACAAAGUCACCACCACAAGAAGGACAAAGUCCCAACAAGAAUGCAAAAUGAUCAAACAAUCCGUACGAGUGGGCUAUUUAGCAAAUAUCUUGCAAUACUUGAUAUAACACGAAUACAAUGCUAUUAAUUGAAGACAAAAAAAAAAAAUAUCAGGUUAUUUAAAAAUAUUUCAGCAAGUAAAAAGAGUACAAAGUUUAUACACAAACCUUGGUGUUUUACCACAAAAUAGUUCAACCACAACUUGAGGAUGUUCGAAUCGUCUACGCCCUAGAUAAACCAAAUCAGUCCACUUNNNNNNNNNNNNNNNNNNNNNNNNNUAUAUAUAUAUAUAUAUAUAUAUAUAUAUAUAUAUAUAUAUAUACCUUAAAUACAUAAUAAAAUAUCUAUAUAAGUUCAGUGAUUUAACAUGUCAAACUAAACAUGAUAUUGGUGAAAAUUACCCAAAAUAUUUGAAACAUAAAUUCUAGACAGUAUCACUGUCUCGUGUUGUGACUCAGAUUUGAAGAUGAAAGAGGACAAACUAGACUGUGUAGUCUUCUUUACAGUUGUAGAUAUGUCUCUUAUCAUUUCAUACCAUCUUGAAUCACCCCCAUGUCAAUUUCGUACAAAAGGUUAUGCUAAACUUACUAACAGUAGUACAAGGAGGAUUUGUAAAACAGAAAAUCUGGACAACAUCUGCCCUGUACUUCAUCACCUAUUUUCAGGUAAAUAAAAGACAAAUCAAGUUUUGGUUCCUUCAUAAGAGUUAUAGAUCUAUGAAAUGGAUUUCCAAAAAGUCCUAGAUCACUUAAAACGGAGCUCUAUACAAAAUGAUAUGAAGAAAACACUAAUAGUUGUCUAGUAUAAAAACGGGUUUAGUAACUUACCACAAAAGAGAGGAGCAACUUGAGCUUCACCAAGAACGAAUUUUGCUGGUUAGUUUAGUGAAAAUUUAUGGUGGUUUUCAUGAAGUUUUCAGGUGAUAAGAAGGAUAGAGGGUAGGGUUUUUCUUUUUUUUCUUGAAAGAAUGAAAAUGAGGAGUUUAUGGAAGACUAAGUCAAUCAAAGUUAUCUUUAAGAAUUUUGGAUAAAUAUGAAAUAAAAAUGGCUACUCAACUACUAAGUAUCCUUAGAUAAAUACAAAAGGGUGACAGCCCAAAAACUUAAUUAUAAUAUAUUUAACAAUAAUUCAUCAAAAUAAUAUUAAGUGUUACACAUAGCAACACCAUGGAACUUCUUUGUUAAUAUUAACACAACCUAGAGUAAGGAAUUUUCAUGUAUUAUCAAUUUCACGUUUAGGAAGAGCGAAGUAAAAAUAUCUCCUCAUUAUAAAGAUGCUCAAUCGAAAAUACAAAUAUUAGUAAAAAUUCGGUGUGUUAUAGGGCCAAAUGGUAUCUCAUCUACAUUUACUUGGGCAUCCUUCUUUUUGUUGAUUUUAGACUGUCUAAUUUCAGCUGAGUCAUCUUUCAAAUCACUACACUCUUCAAUGUUCUUAUCUAUAUCAAACAGUGAGUUGGACUCUUUAGAAUCAUCAAAGUCUUCAUCAAAAUCAGAUUCUGAUGUUUGAAGGUGAUAGGAUGAGAAGUUAUUACCUUCACCUUCAUCUUAUUCUUCUAUCUCUCCAUUUAUAUCUGCCUCCUUACCCUUAUCUUUGUCAUUUUCAGUCCUAUUUAUAUCAUUGUUAGGAGGUGACACAUCAACUCUAGCACUUAACCCACUGUCAUGCCCAUGUGUUUGUAGAGUGGGGUCCAGUUCAGUUAUGUCCUCGACAAGAAUAUGAUUACUAAUUUUAUGGACAAUAUAAACAUCAACAAAGUCAACACAAUUCAAUGUAUUAAGAAACUUUAACACAUUAGCAUCUGUUUUUAAAAUGUAAUAGCCACCCUUUUUGUUAACUUUGCAUCCAAACAAAUCAACUUCUAAAAAUCCUAAGUCCCUAGAAAACUUGUGAAACAACAUAAUAUGCAGCUCAUCAACAUUAACUGUAGCAAAUUGAGGACAAGUUAGUCUAUUUGCAUACCUUAGCUCAGGGUCCGAUACAAAAUUACCACUGUGGUAGAUUUAUAGGUUAACUAGGCUUGAAGCCAUUUUCUUCUCAUACCUGCAAAGUAACAAAACAAAUAGUGUUAUCAAUGACUAUUUGUUAUCAAAAGUUGCAUCUUUACACAACUCCAUAAACAAACCAACAAAAAAGAUAGAUUUUUUAAGUAAAAAGCUUCCAAGAUUCCUUUUCCGUCCCUACAAUAACCUAUAAUAUUCAGAAAUACUCUGGUGGACCACUAACAAGAACGAGACCCAACAAAUUUUACAAAAAAUAUGCAUAAAUCUAAGAUGAAAUUCUGAUUUGACAAAAAAAAACCCAAAAAUUAAACGGAAUAACCAAAUAUUCCAUUGCAUGCAUGACACUACAUAAAAAAGGGUUUUCACUUCAAAAUGUAACGAAAUAGAGCAAAAGCCCCAUAUAUUGAGGAAAAUUAAACAGCAAUUACGAUCUAACCCAACCUUUCCCUAAGAACCCUAGACAGAGCAAAAGACCCAUACAUUGAGGAAAAUGAAGAUCAAUAAAGACAAAAGAUGAAGAACAGAUGAAGAAACUUACCCCACAAACUUCGAUAACAACUGCGAUGAUGAAACUUCUGCCAACUAUGACGGAGAAGAGAGGAGAGACAGAAGUGGUUCGAUACUUUCUAAUCCCUAACUAAGUAGUUAAGUUAAAAUGAAGGGGAAAUUUGUGUUUGGGGGGAGGGGGUUAACAAUUAUUUCACGUAUUAUUUUCCUAUGUGGCCAUAAUAAAUGACCUGGAGCCUACGUGGUUUAAGUUUCUUGACGUGGUGUCCUAUGUGUAGGAGAUUGUAUUACAUGCACUGGAAGCCUCCUGUUAUAAGCAUUUAUUAUACACGGUUUGAAGGAGUGUAAGUGUUCAAUUGGCAAAUUUUUAAGUUGGGGGACCGGCAUGACAAAGUGGCACAAGUAUAGGUGCUAUUUAGGCCAUUCUGUCAUUUUAAAAUCUAACACAUUUAAAGAGAUUACAAGUGCGUCAUUGUGUGGUCAUAAUAAUCCAUCCGUGUCUUCCUCCGUGAAAGUGAUAUCGUCCUCCCGGAGUCUUUUGCUGUGAGUUAUCGACACUUUAGUCUUCUUUGCCGCCGAAAAGGUGACCCCGUUAAUCUCGUUCCCCCCCAAAGAUCAUGUUAAUCGUUUGGCGUAGGGUUUACUCUCCUGCUUUCGAGGAUUUUGCGUUGUCUGUGUUGCGAUUGUAAUUGUUCUUAGCUCGUCACUCAAGAAUUCUCGGAGAUGACCAUUCUUCAAUAGUAUUGCCACUUCCUCCCGAAGAUGUCGACAGUCCCUUGUCCGGUGACCGUUCGUCCCGUGGUAUUCGCACUAUGAAUUGGGAUCCCUCUGGCUAGAAUUGGACCUCAUAGGUCUCACGAAUCAUGCUUCUUUAAUGUUCCUCAUGGCUGACACCAGUUCCACUACACUGGCAUUGAAGUUAUAUUCUGAUAACUUGGGGUAAGAAAGAUCUCGAGACCCCGAUGUUUGUUUAUCUUGAAGUGAUCUAUCGUUUUGACCAUGAUCAGUCCCUCCGUCAACUAUGAACUUGUUUGUUGUUUAGAAAUUACUGCCACGGCCUUUGGUAUGCUCGUAGGGCAAAAACCGAUCCCUCGUAGUCCACCUAUCCACGUCGUAGUCAUCCUUUGAUUUUUCUCUGUUCUUCUCCAGUCCUUUGGCCGAUGAUGUAAAAUCGAGCCGGUCAUCUUCGAUCCUUAUCUUCGACUCGUACCAGUUGUGAACAUUUGCCUAGGUUGUUGCUUGAAACUCAAGCGGGCUCUCCUUCAGCUUCUGGGAAGUGUCUUAACUUCUCAGAUUCAAUCCUUUGGUGAAUGCUUCAGCUGCCCAUUCAUCCGGAACGGCCGGGAUCAACAUUCUUUCUUUCUGGAACCGGGUAACAAACUAUCGUAAUAAUUUUGAUUCUCCUUGUGCGAUUUUGAAUAUGUCGGCUUUUCGGGUUUGCACCUUUCUGGCCCCGCCAUGAGCUUUAAUGAAAGAAUCUGUGAGCAUUUCAAAAGAAUCUCUAGAAUGCUCGGGAAGUAAUGAAUACCACGUUAAGGCUCCCCUCGUGAGAGUUUCGCCGAAUUUCUUUAGCAACACAAAUUCAAUUUCGUGAGGAGCUAGAUCAUUUCCUUUCAGCGACAUUGUGUAGGUGGUAAUAUGUUUCUACAGGUCUGAAGUUCCAUCAUACUUUGGAACUUCAGGCAUUGUGAAAUGCUUCGGAAUUAGUUCUGGUGUCGCACUUGGCUUGUACGGUAAUUGAACAUACUUCUUCGAGUUUGGGCCUUUCAAUACUAGUGGUGCACCCGGGAUUUGAUCCAUACGGGUGUUUAUUUCCCUAAUGAACCGUAAAAGUUCACCCUUAAAUGAAUCGUUCCCGUUGUUAAGACCUGAUCUGCUCCCCCCAGCCGUAAAUUAACUAAUAAAUUAACUAAUUAACUCAUCCUUAAAUGAAUCUUAUAUCUAACUAAUUAACUAAUAAAUUAAAGCAGUAAAUUAACAACUAAAGAAACUAUGGAUUGGAGACUAUAUUCAGGAGGUCUAAAGUUAUGCUUUUCCCAAUUAUCGGAAUCCUUCUCGCUAUGUUUUCUACAAUUUUGCCUAUGUAUUCUCUACUGAUCGUGAGCACUUUAGGUGCCUUAAUUCUCUCUCGAGCAACUACAAUAAUUUACUAGGCAUAUUCUCUCGAACUACGCUAGUUGGCUUUAUCAAACCGCUCACUAUGACCACGUCAAGGCUUUGUUAUUUCUAAACCUACCUUUAAACCCGCCGUAUUGAUUUCUCACAUACGUUAGGAAUGACGUUGUUCAACAACCACCUAAAUAUGUAUCCUUUCUCAAGAAACACAUAAUAGAUAGGCACAGUCAAUCGAUGGCCAUUUAAUCAACUGAAAUAAGCACGUAGUUGACAAAUAGAUAAAUUCAAAGGUUAAAUUAUAUUAAAACAUAACAAGAAUUCAUCCUUCAAGAGGUUCCAUCAAAACUCUAGUUAAUUAAUUAGUUACUCAUAAUAGUAUGUAAUACUACAAUACUAAAAGUCAUAACUAACAAUGAAAAGUAGGAAGAAGAAUGGGAAAAAAUCGUGGUUAAAUCUUCCUCCUUGAUCCUAGCAUAUUCUUGCCUCCUUGGGUGUUGUCUUACCCUAAAGUGGUGUCUAAGUCCUCAAAAUACUAUUUUUCAUGUAUAUAUACCAAGUAGGAUCGGUCCCAAAUAAUUAUACAUUCUCCUAUAUGAAAAAGGACACAUUUCCCGGACAGGACGUGCGCGGCCGCGCACGUUUCACACUUUCUGCCCCAUAUGCGCGGUCAGUGCGCGACCGCACAUUUGCCAUGCAAGUUUCACCCUAUUCUGUUGGGAAUUUAAAUAAUCAUAAAACAUGAACAUUGUAGCCCUUUGAAUUAGCUUUCCAACCAUAUAUUGUGGAUCCCAUAUGUAGUUCUGAUCGAAAGGUUAUGUGCUUUUUACUAGACAGUGCGCAAUAUGCCUGCUCGAUUCUUCGUUCGUUCUAAACUGUCAUCUGUUGAUCCCCGAACACGAUCCUGGCUUAAUUCCUUGGACUUUUACUCAGAUUGCAAAGCUCCAAAUCACUUGAAUUCAUUCCAUAACAUCUACAUAGCUCGGAAUCACUCCUACAAGGCAUAAAACACCCAAUUAGUGCAAAAUACUAGCGAUUAAAGCUCAAACUCAACUAAAGUACAGUAAAUUAUAGUGUAAUAAGCGACUAAAAUAAUACUUAACCCAUUGCUCGUCCUCGAGCAAUCAAACUACACUUUAUAUAGAUUCGGUCUUUUUAAACAAUUCUCCUAACUCAUCACACCAACAAUAUUUGAAAUAGACUAAGCACAAAAGCGUAACAUCUUCACCUCAAGAUUUGACUCACAAGUACCACGCAUUAUUCACAACUCACCCACUUAACCUAACAUAGAGGUCACUGACAUUACCUUUCCCUCAUGAAUCAAGUUCCCUCACACAACAAAAGAGAGUAGUUCCACACAAUAAAAUUUAAGAACACUUAGGAACUCAAGAUAGAAAGUAUUCACUCACUCUCAGAAAUAACAUUCAUAUGCCACAAAAGAUACACCAUAGGCUUGCCCGUAGUGUACUACUCUACUAAUCGAGCUCAUUCAGUCUCGGAUCAAGUAGGACUUUAUUUGGUUGUAAUGUAGGCUGCAGGAUGGAUAUGAUACAUUUAGAUAUAAGAGUGACUACACCUACCUAAGCACUUUAAUACAUACACUUUAACAUUUAAAACCUCACACUUAUGUGAAACCAUAACUCCACCUUCACAUAAAUAUAUAUUACCCCAUACUUCUUUAAGCAUAAUUACAUCAAAAGCCACCAAAGGAAUAUUAUUCACAACAAUACAACUAUAUAUUUUUUUUUCUUUCUUUUUCAAUUCAAGUGGCUUUUAUUUUUUUUUCAACACAGUGCACCUUUCUCCUUAUUUUAUUAGUUCCAUUCAAAAGCCCCACCAUCCACCCCACACUUUAACCUUUACAAAGUUCAUAACAAUUCAAGUGCUCAUGAGAGGUGAACAGGUUCAAAUAGAUGGUUAAUUCAAAUAAAUAGGUAAGGCUUGAAAUGUGGUUGUCAAAGAAACAGAAUUACAGGCUCAAAGGGGUUAACUACAUUACAUAACAAUUAUGCGGGUAAACUAUAUAUAUCGGGCUCAACAAAGAAACGCCUAUAUCACUUCCAAGACUGAACAAAACUACUAUUUCGUUUUGCAAACACACGGGGUAAGUUCUAGACAUCAAAUGCAAUACACAGAAUAACACACAAACCUCACACACACAUGGCACAUAACUCACUCAGGAUUAGAUUCAUCAAGACACUCUAGUCAAAGCAGUUAAGUAAAGUUAAGAUUAUACGAUUUAAGAUAUUUUUACAAGAGUCAAAAACUGAGCCUAAGUGUCACAUCCAAAGUACUCACUAUUAUCAAGGCAUAACAAAGUCAAUAGAUAUAGCUUCAAUUCAAAACACAUCACAAUGGCUCAUAUUCCUAAAAAAAUAAAACUAGCUACACCCGGUUCAAACAAAACCCUUGAAAAAGAACCGCGACACAAAGAAAAACCAAGGGGUAAUUGCUACACUACCUAACAAAAGAAAAUCUUUUUUUCUUUUUCCUUUCGACUUAAAUCCCUCAAGAAAAUUGUCUAAUAGAUCCAUCAUCGGGAAAAGUCCAAUAUUUUCUAUUUAAAAAAUAAAAAGUAUUAUUCAAUUAAACUAACACGACUAAAAUAGCAUAGAAAAUCACCCAGACAAUCUCCUCACCCCACACUUAAAAUUGUGCAUUGUCCCCAAUGCACACCCAUAAAUGCAAGAGGGUAAAAGAAACUCCCUGGUCGGCCAAAGGCCGAAGCACUAGCAGCUCAUGAGGUACUCAGACUUCUCCCAGGCCUGGUCCUUCGUGCGGGUACCUCACACUUAGUUCCAACCAUCUGGUUUGUUGUUGCAUCCUUCCAAUGGCUUUGCUUUCCAUGCUCCUAAAAAAUCAAAAAUCGACACUACAAACAUAGUACAAUUUAAAAAAUAAAAAAUAAACGAAAGCAGUAAAGCUGAGUUGCCUCCCAACAAGCGCUUGAUUUAACGUCGCGGCACGACGUGAAUCGCUUUUUGCCUCCACCUCGAGCUUAUGAAUUGAACCCCAAGUUUUGAUUCAAGCUUAUGAUUAUACUCCUGGGGUGGUGGAAUGAAUCUAACUGGCCCAAGAAAAUAAUGUAGUAUUCUGCACUUCUUGGCCUUUAGAUGAGGUGUGUAAUUCUGACUUUCUGGCAAGAAGAAUUCUAGAAUGUAGGCACCUUGUUCCUCAUUCCUUGACUCCUCAAGUAGCCCGGAUGACUUUAUUUCUAUAUCAUCAUCCAAACACAAUGUGAAAAAAUACUUAGAGUGUGGACCAAUGCGCUCAACUACAUGAACAUUUGGACUGUCUACAUCCUCAACACCAAUGACACUAGAGUCAGCUAAAUAUGUAUCAUCAAUGUCCUUGGUUGACUCUAGUAUCUCUUCUACAACAAUGACAUCCUCAGAAUCUAGUUCGAAUGAUUGUUGGUGUUCUACUCUGAUCUCCUCCGUUAGCACCUCGAUUUCUGCAUCUAAUACAUGCUCCUUUUGGCUACUAUCCAUAAAAUUGCCUUGCUGAGCAUUAAAAGCUUCAACCACUUGACUCACUUGAGCCUCCAAGUUGCGAAUAGUUGCCUCUUGCCUUUCUAUCUACAGUUGUUUCUCAUUAUUUUGUUCCAGAAGGCACUUUAACAUAUCUUUGAUCUCUUUCAAUUCAGCUUCCCUAGGUUCUUUGUUCCUAUUCACUUCACCAAAAAAUUGUAGAACCAGCAUAGCAAGAGAUAAGGGGAGGAUAAGAAAUAUACGCACAACCAUGAAAGUGAUCAUCUUGACCACCACAUAUAUCACACACAUUCCACACAUAAGAUUGAGUUAGUGCACACAACUCGCUCUCGGAAAUAUUUUGAUAAUUUUGCAAUGGGUGGUUUCCUCCACAAUAUGCAUAAGGAGGAUCAAAAGUAGAAUUAUCAACAUCAAAACUCUCAUAAUUCCAAGAUGCCAUGUCUCUAAAAUAAACAAGUAACACAAAAUAAAAAAAAAUUAAAUACAAAAAAAUAAAAAUAAAAGUUCAAACUUGAAACCUAGCAAUAUGUACACUUACAGCUACACCGUUAGUUCCCCGGCAACGGCACCAAAAUUUGAUCACGCCCAACUAUGCCUUAUAAAUAGGACUAAGCGGUCACUGCAAAUAUAAUCCGGUCUAAGAGUCCGGAGUCGAAUUCCACAGAGAACUAAGGUUUAGCUACAACUGUUCACUAUCACCAAGAAGACAAGCUUGAACAAUUCCUAAGUUAUAAAUAUUACGAUUCUUAUAUCUAACUAAUUAACUAAUAAACUAAAGCAGUAAAUUAACAACUAAAGAUACUAAGGGUUGGAGACUAAAUUCAGGAGGUCUAGAGUUAUGAUUUCCCCAAUUAUCGGAAUUCUUCCCGCUAUGUUUCCUACAAUUUCGCCUAUGUAUUCUCUACUGAUCGUGAGCACUUUAGGUGCCGUAAUUCUCUUUUGAGCAACUACAACAAUUUACUAGGCAUAUUCUCUCAAACUACGCUAGUUGGCUUUAUCAAACCGCUCACUAUGACCACGUCAAGGCUUUGUUAUUUCUAAACCUACCUUUAAACCCGUUGUAUUGAUUUCUCACAUACGUUAGGAGUGACAUUGUUUAACAACCACCUAAAUAUGUAUCCUUUCUCAAGAAACACAUAAUAUAUAGGCACAAUCAAUCGAUGGCCAUUCAAUCAACUGAAAUAAGCACGUAGUUGACAAAUAGAUAAAUUCAAAGAUUAAAUUAUAUUAAAACAUAACAAGAAUUCAUCCUCCAAGAGGUUCCAUCAAAUUUCUAGUUAAUUAAUUAGUUACUCAUAAUAGUAUGUAAGACUACAAUACUAAAAGUCAUAACCAACAAUGAAAAGUAGGAAGAAAAAGAAGGGGAAAAACUCGUGGUUAAAUCUUCCUCCUUGAUCCUAGCGUAUUCUUACCUCCUUGGGUGUUGUCUUACCCUAAAGUGAUGUCUAAAUCCUCAAAAUACUGUUUUUCAUGUAUAUAUACCAAGUAGGGUCGGACCCAAAUAAUUAUACCUUCUUCUACAUGAAAAAGGAUACUUUUCCCGGACAGGACGUGCGCGGCCGCGCACUUUUCACACUUUCUGCCCCAUAUGCGCGGCCGUGCACUUGCAGCGCACCUUUCACCAUGUUCUGUUGGGAAUGUGAAAAAACGUAAAACAUGAAAGUUGUAGUCCUUUGAAUUAAAUUUCCAACCAUAUAUUGUGUAUAGCAAAUGGAGUUCGGAUCGAAAAGGUAUGUGUAUUUUACUAGACAAUGCACAAUAUACCUGCUCGAUUCUUCGUUCGUUCUAAACUGUCAUCUGUUGAUCCCCGAACACGAUCCCGGCUUAAUUCCUUGGGCUUUUACUCAGACUUCAAAGCUCCAAAUCAUUUGAAUUCAUUCCAUAACAUCUACAUAGCUCGGAAUCACUCCUACAAGGCAUAAAACACCCAAUUAGUGCAAAACACUCGCGAUUAAAGCUCAAACUCAACUAAAGUGCAGUAAAUUAGAGUGUAAUAAGCGACUAAAAUACGUAAUUAUAGCCUAUCGUCAAGCGCAGUAGCUGCGUUCGGUCAUCAACCAUCCCAUCUUGGAUUCCACGUGUCCUCCUUUUAGUUAGCCACGCGUCAUAUCAUAUUUUACCCUAUACAAGCAUAUAUAUUCAAUUAUACACUUCACAAUUCACAACCAAGUGUAAGAAAUCAAGUGAAACUUAAAUACUCACAUAAUAAACGUAACCCUGUUUAUGCAUAUACAAGUUCAAGAGAGAUUUUUUUUUUUUUUACUAAACGGCUUGCAAGGUGAAAACUAAAACUCAAAAAAUGUAAAACAAUUAUGUGAUUAGGUUGAAGUCAUACUACACAAGCAAGCACCGUGUAUAGAUCAUAACUCAUGUACGUCGGGAAAAAUAUCUUUUCAUUUUCAAAAGAAAUNNNNNNNNNNNNNNNNNNNNNNNNNNNNNNNNNNNNNNNNNNNNNNNNNNNNNNNNNNNNNNNNNNNNNNNNNNNNNNNNNNNNNNNNNNNNNNNNNNNNNNNNNNNNNNNNNNNNNNNNNNNNNNNNNNNNNNNNNNNNNNNNNNNNNNNNNNNNNNNNNNNNNNNNNNNNNNNNNNNNNNNNNNNNNNNNNNNNNNNNNNNNNNNNNNNNNNNNNNNNNNNNNNNNNNNNNNNNNNNNNNNNNNNNNNNNNNNNNNNNNNNNNNNNNNNNNNNNNNNNNNNNNNNNNNNNNNNNNNNNNNNNNNNNNNNNNNNNNNNNNNNNNNNNNNNNNNNNNNNNNNNNNNNNNNNNNNNNNNNNNNNNNNNNNNNNNNNNNNNNNNNNNNNNNNNNNNNNNNNNNNNNNNNNNNNNNNNNNNNNNNNNNNNNNNNNNNNNNNNNNNNNNNNNNNNNNNNNNNNNNNNNNNNNNNNNNNNNNNNNNNNNNNNNNNNNNNNNNNNNNNNNNNNNNNNNNNNNNNNNNNNNNNNNNNNNNNNNNNNNNNNNNNNNNNNNNNNNNNNNNNNNNNNNNNNNNNNNNNNNNNAUAUAUAUAUAUAUAUCUUAUAUAUAUGGGAAUAACAAAAAACUAGACCAAAAUUAAGUGUGUGUCGGUAGUGGCUCAACGCUACGUUUGCAAAAGCACAUUGCACCUCGCAAAUCGCAAUGAAACGAAUUGGUUAACUGGGCCGCAACAUCUCUGGGUGAUAGAUAAGGUAAGGAUGCUAAGAGUUAUCAAUUCAUUCAUAAAUUUGAGACAAAAAUAAGAAGCAGGAAAUUAAAUCUGGACAUAACACAUAAACAAGGGGAAAAAGCAAAAUAAAAAAUAAAAUUUUUUUGCUGACACCAACUUGGCAGUUAAUUUUAAAUGAGUGUAGCCAUGGCUUAGUUGAUAGUAGCCAUUAGAUUUUUUUUAAUGGUUGUGACUUUUUAAGAAGAAUAUGAAGCGCCACUUUUUCUCAAAACAGGUGUCUAAAUGAAGCGCCUAUUUGUAGUUCUUUUUAAUUAAAGAGGGUAUAACUAAAUUAAAUAGGGUAUUAGGAUAAAUUAGGAGGGCAUUUAAGUAAUUUAACUUUUAAGUUAAGGGCUUUAUGUUUUUAAUAUAUUGUAGAUGUAUAAUCAAUAUAUAAUCUAUGUAUCUGGCUAUAAAAAGUAAAUAAUGAAUAUGAUCGGCUAUUUGUGCAAAAAUUCUUUUUUAUUUGAGAUACAUGCCCAAUUGGCAACUGGUUAAAAGGACCAAGAAUAGAAAGUAGGAGUUUAUGCUAAUAUUAUUGAGAAAAAUAUCUGAAUUUCUCUCAUGUCUAGUUUCUCAUCCCCUUCUUGGUUUUUUCAUAUCUUACUUAGCUUCUGCAUUUUGUAUUUUCAUUAAUGCUAUUCUACUUCGUUGGGUUGUAAUCAUUAGUUACUAUCAUCAAUAUAAUCUGUAUUUUGAAGUUGUUACAUUGGUGCUUUCAUCCAUCGGACUUUAAUGGCAAUACUAUAUCGACACAGCGGCAACAACAAUCCAGGGAGCUGACUUUUUCGAGCCAAGCGGUACUUCACCUACCUUGGCUUCGCCAAGAAGGAUUGCUUACCUAUUCCUUUCUUUUAUCUUGAUGGUGAAGCUCUUACUUGGUUCAAUUGAUUGUUUUGGAAUAGAAAAUUUUCGAUUGAAAAUAUUUCAAGGCAAACUUUGAUUAGUAUUUUUGACAUCAAACCAACACAGAUCCAGUAGGGCGUCUAUCUAGUUCCUCUCUAGUUCGUUUUAACUACGUUAAUUUUGUCCCUAUAAUUUCACAAUCAGCUCCGACAUUUUUCCUUCCUGCUUUGAGUUAUUUUUCGCAGUCUUCUGCAUUCUAGGAAGCUGGGAACCUAAAAGUAGUGCAUGUGUUCGAUAGAUUGGGGGAGAAGUAUACGUAUGUAGCUCAUUUGGAAUUGAUUAAUGGGAAUAAUAUUGAGAUUGAAACUCUUGAAGACAUGAAAACACCUCAACUUAGGAACGCAAAAUUAGUAAAGGUUGCAAAAUUGGUACGUGCACAUUCUUCUAUUACAGAAGCUGAGGUGUUGGACGAAAUUUCACGCAAAACAAUGAGCUCUGCAAUUCAUGAUCUUAACGCUAUUGUCCAUGAGAGAGAAUACUCUGCAACUACACUAACCAAGGUGUACGACGAUAGCUUCUGCGGAGAUAUCAGUUUGCAAACAAAGUUCCCGUAACGACUCGACUUAUCGUUUUGAGUAUUAUAGUCUCGUUUCCCCCAUUUACUGCUUAUCAUGUGUUCUAUUAUAAAUUUGUGACUUGUCGGGAAGGUUUCAAAAUGAAUUGGAAUACUUAGUUCCAAGAUUUAAAGUUUAAGUUGAAAUAGUUGGCCGGAUACUGACUUAUGUGUAAACGACCCCGGAAUAGAGUUUUGAUGAUUCCAAUAGCUCCGUAUUGUGAUUUUGGACUUAGGAGUGUGUCCAGAAAAUUAUUUGGAAGCACGUAGUUAAAUUAGGCUUGAAAUGGCGAAAAUAUGAAGUUUAAAUUUGGAAGUUUGACUGGGGAGUUGACUUAUUGAUAUCGUGGUCGGAAUCCGAUUCUAGAAAUUGGAAUAGGUCUGUUAUGUCAUUUAUGGCUUGUGUGCAAAAUUUGAGGUCAAUCGGACUUGAUUUGAUAGGUUUCGGCAUCGAAUGUAGAAGUUAAAAAUUCUUAGUUUCAUUAAGCUUGAAUUUGGGUAUGAUUCGUGGUUUUAGCGUAGUUUGAUGUGAUUUAGAGGUUCGACUAAGUUCGUAUGAUAUUUUAGGACUUGUUGGUGUAUUUGGUUAAAAUCCCGGAGGCCUCGGGAGAGUUUCGGAUAAUUAACGGAUCAAUAUUUGGACUUAAGGAAAUGCUGGAAUUUUUCUAUUGCUGGUAUCUUCGCACCUGUGCAUGAGGGAUCUCGUGCCCCUUCAGUUCAGGGUUCAUUUGCACCGGGUGCUUCUAGCAGUUAUUCUGGUUCUCGGGGCCCGAUUCAGUACGCACCACCACCAGUACCGGGAGCUACUUCGAGUGCGGGAAAUUUGGGCAUAUGUGGAGACAGUGUCCUCGUCGCUCGGGAGGUCCAGUGUAGCAGAGGAGUCAUACUACGACUUCAGCACCAGUUACUUCACCAUCUGCCCAGGUAGCUCGGGGUGGGGGUCAGUCAGCUAGGGGUCGCCCAAGAGGGGGAGGCCGAUCAGGUGGCGGUCAAGCCCGAUUCUAUGCUUUUCCUGCCAGACUAGAUGUUGUUGCUUCAGAUGCAGUGAUCACAGGUAUUGUCUCAGUGUGCCAUAGGGAGGCAUCUAUAUUAUUUAACCCUGGUUCUACUUAUUCGUAUGUAUCAUCGUACUUUACUCAUUAUCUAGAUAUGUCCCGUGAGUCCUUAGUUUCACCUGUACGUGUAUCUACGCCUAUGGGCGAUACUAUUAUGGUGGACCGUGUGUAUCGGUCGUGUGUGGUAAUAUUGGGGGACUGAAGACUAGAGUUCAUCUCUUAUUGCUUAGUAUGGUUGAUUUCAAUGUAAUCCUGGGUAUGGAUUCGGUGUCCCCAUGUCAUGCUAUUUUUGGACUGUCACGCAAAAACCAUGACGUUGGCAAUGCCGGGGUUGCCGAAGGUCGAAUGGAGAUGUUCUCUAGAUUAUGUUCCCAUCAGGGUAAUUUCUUAUUUGAAAGCCCAACGUAUGGUUAGGAAGGGGUGU
RNAcentral lists this long non-coding RNA (58355 nucleotides) under Nicotiana tabacum (common tobacco). RNAcentral describes it as "long non-coding RNA (NTAB_LNC000400)". The record is from RNAcentral. Lineage: Eukaryota; Viridiplantae; Streptophyta; Magnoliopsida; Solanales; Solanaceae.